This 45133-nucleotide long non-coding RNA is filed under the name Ananas comosus (pineapple). RNAcentral's name for it is "long non-coding RNA (ACOM_LNC032473)". The record is from RNAcentral. Lineage: Eukaryota; Viridiplantae; Streptophyta; Magnoliopsida; Poales; Bromeliaceae.
AAAUAACUCUACCGCUACCGAUCACUACACUAUCAUGCUCUACACUAACCAACUGUAGGAAAUGUCAACUCUGACCCAAUCCAAUCGGGACUGUAAGCAUACCCGUCCUCGGGACUGUGAAUACACCCGUCCCUGCCCCAUUGCGACUAUCAAGCUCUAUCCACACUAACUGGUCCGUGGAGAGCAUGUUCAACUGGCAUGAGCGAUACCAACGCGAAAGCACACAAAGCCUGACUCCGGAGUGGCACUCGUGGGCGCUACCCAACCGAGUAUGCAGCGUAUCUCUGUCGAGCUCAAUCAGGCUCCAACUAGCCAACGUCAAGUGAACAGGGUCAAAACAGGUCUACAAACCAAACCCACGUGCUCUCGGCACAAUCUGUGACCUAAACAAGAAUCUGGGUCCACCGCUAACCCGAACGGCACCCAACGACCCGAAACAGCCUAAACUCUGCUGAAAAAUAAGCUCGGCAUCUCAGCACGAGCGUAAAUGCCUUCUAAACUACCCCAGGUAUCCAUCGCAACGAUACUGCAAUGAUACAAUCGAAUCACGGCUCCUAGAGCUAAAUCUGGUAGUUUAAGCAUAUGACGAUUCCAAUCGUGUUUUCUCCUAAGUCAAAUCCAGUCCAACAUGUACAUUUAAGAUUUACUAGUUAUGUUCUCAAUACUGAUUAUAUCCAGGAUAGCAUCACGAAUAUCAAGCUACAACAUGAUUGCCGAACUAAAAAUCAUACAUGUCGACGAUUACGGUACUUAGGAAUAAACCGAUGUAAACCCACCUCGAAAGCUAUCCCCUGGCAGCGGUACACUCUCACAGCUGUGGCGCCACCUGCUGGGUCGAUCGUAGCCCUUCGAACCCAAGAAUCGCGCUAACUCCAAGCUCUACACCAAACAAUUCACCGUUUCAGUCUAGUUUUCGCAGCAGUGGAGUACAAUAAGAAUUCGACCAAGCUAACCUUCACCAAAUCCAGCAAGUAAGGGCUUCGCGGAUUCCUCUCGCAGUCCCGAAUCCAACGAACUAAGCCUCGUCGAAAUCCGAUGCUCCUACGUCGAGAACGAGCUGAAAUACUAACAGUCGAUGAAGAAAUUCAGCAAACAACAUCUCUCCGAGUUGAAGUAGUAAGAACUUGCCCAAAAUCCAAGGAAAGGCUGAAUUACUCACCUCGACAGCGACUAGCACCGGCGCGACGUCAAGAACAGCGAAGUCGCACGCUCGCCCGGUCUCCUCGCAAUGCCCCGGCGUCAAAUACGUGCUCGAAUGAUCCCGCGGUACGUCGGCGACGAAACUCCCACCGAGCUCCACCGUGCUCAAGGACACCGCUAGAGAGAGAGAGGAGAAGAAGCAGAACAUUCCCUCUCUGCUCUACACCAAGCUAUAUAGAGGGAGAGAAAAGGAUUGAUACAAACGAGGGAGAGAAAAUUACUCAUUUAACCCUCUACCUACCCCCUUGUACCGGUACANUUCAAUAUACAAAAUAAAUACAUGAAUUACGGUAUUAUAAUAUUAAGAAAAACAUUUUAGGGGAAGCGAAUCUACAAUCAAGUGAAAGAGAGCGCGAGAGAGAGUAAUUAGAGUAGGGUUUUACCGAUUUAUUAGUUUUGUAGGCCAGCAAAUAUGCCCAAUAAUCUAAACUCAUAUACAUAUGAUUAAAAUGCAUAAUAUAUAUUAUUAUAUAUAAUUAAAAUAUAUAUUAUAUUAUAUAUAAUUAUACAAAUAUAUAAAAGUAUUUUUAAGAUAUAUAUAUAUAUAUAUAUAUAUAUAUAUAUAUAUAUAUAUAUAUAUAUAUAUAUAUAUUAUAAAAUUAAUUUUGGUUCAGGUCGGGUUCAGAUAAAAUCUAUAUCUGAAUUCAAAUCUACCGGAUUUUUUUAUUUUUUUUUAUUCGUAUCCAAAACUUAUCCGUUUAGCAUCGUAUAAAUCAGCUCCGUUCAGAUUAGGUUGCAGGUAAAAUUUCGGGUAUUCAGUCCUCAAAAUAAAGGGCUUAUGCCAAAGAUGGACCUAUUUAAGAUCGAAAUAAAGUACAGGGGUUUUAUUUAUAUAAUUAAGCUAAUUUUCCGACAUGUUUUGUAAUAAUAGCAAAUAUUUUUAAUUUUUUAAUGAAUGGGUUUAAAUCCACGUAGUGGGGUUUAAACAACAACACGCAAAACCCAAAAAAAAAAAGUAGUGGGGUCCACAAAGUUAUAUGUGGGUGAAAAUGUGGGUGUCGAACAUUCGGGUGCCCUAAUUUGAAAUUCAUCUCGAACCUAGGGUUUCGUCUCGAACGGAAAAAGUAUAUUGGUGGGGACGCGUCGCGACCGUGAGACCAUGGCGUCGACCGUCCAUCAGGAGCUCCGCACGAAUCCUAAAGCAUCGCGGACGGGGGAUCGCGUGGUCUCGCGUUGGGGGUGUGGGGUACAUCCCCACCAUUUCUUUUUUUUUAUUUAUUUAAAGUUCUUUUUCGCGAUUAAAUCUAUAAUAAAAAGGAGCCCCCUUUCUCGCGUCGUCUCCUUCCUCCCCACACUCGUUCCUCUCUCCGAGCUCGUACCCCCUUUCUCCUAGGGUUAGGGUUAGGGUUAGGGUUGGGGUUCGCUCUCGAGCUUGGGCUCUGCUGGUGCUGCUUCUUGUAGGGUUUCGGUUGGUGGAUCGCGUCGUUGCGGCGGAGAUGUCGCUGAGGCCGAGCGAGAGGGCGGAGAUCCGCCGCAACAAGUACAAGGUGGCGGUGGACGCGGAGGAGGGGCGGCGGCGGAGGGAGGACAACAUGGUGGAGAUCCGCAAGAACCGCCGCGAGGAGAGCCUCCUGAAGAAGCGCCGCGAGGGCAUGCAGGCGCAGCAGAUGCAGCAACAGGCCUUCGCCCCGUCGAUCCACGCCUCCGCCCUCGAGAAGAAGGUGUGGGUUCGGAUCCUCCCCCCUGUAGAUCGGGUUUCUAGGGUUGUGGUUUUUGAAUCUGAAGUUUUGGAGGUCUCGGGUUAGGGUUUUGGAUUGGGGAAUCGGUGAUUUGUGUUUGAUUUCGUUGUGAUUGUUUCGAAUUUGCAGUUGGAGAGCCUCCCGGCGAUGGUCGCUGGGGUUUAUUCCGACGAUAGUACUCUCCAGCUCGAGGCGACUACGCAAUUCCGCAAGCUACUAUCAAUAGGUAAGCAACAUCAAAAUUGUUAAUUUGUAAUUUGUAACUCUUUUAAUAAGUUUGCUUUUCGUAUCCAUCUUAUAAUGAUCACCGCUAUAAAUUUAGAGCGAAGCCCUCCCAUUGAGGAGGUUAUUGCAUCUGGCGUGGUUCCCCGCUUCGUGGAGUUUCUCACUAGAGAGGAUUAUCCCCAACUUCAAGUUAGAUAUUCUUGGAUUGAUAGAAAAGAUCCCUUUUUUAUUGUUGUUUCAAUUAAUUUUUAUCCGUGUGUACCUGAUUUGGAUUGUAUGGGCAGUUUGAAGCAGCUUGGGCGCUGACUAAUAUUGCGUCAGGGACCUCGGAGAACACUAAGGUUGUAAUUGAUCACGGUGCCGUCCCGAUUUUUGUAAAGCUAUUGAGUUCCCCGAGCGAUGACGUCCGAGAGCAGGUAUAGCUUUUAUGAUGAGAUUCUCGAACUAAGUUCUCUAGUGUAUCUUGAUAAAUAAGACCCGAAAGGUGGAUUUUUUAAAGUGUUUUUUUAACUUGAUUUUCGUUUGUGAUGUAGCUAAUCUAUGAAUGCUGUGCUCACUUUGUAUGUAGGCUGUGUGGGCCUUGGGAAAUGUUGCUGGUGAUUCCCCCAGAUGCCGAGACCUUGUUCUUGCCCACGGUGCCCUGUUUCCAUUGCUGCAACAGCUGAAUGAGCAUGCGAAGCUCUCGAUGCUGAGAAAUGCCACAUGGACUUUGUCAAACUUCUGUAGGGGAAAACCACAGCCAGCCUUUGAACAGGUUUGAUGUUAGUUAUAGGAUUAAGUUUUUACUUGUUAUUAAACUUCGGUUGUACUUGUAAUUUUAUUGAUCCCUAUUGUGUUUUGCUGCAAUUAGGUUAAGCCCGCUCUUCCAGCACUUCAGCGCCUUAUCCACUCGAACGAUGAGGAAGUCCUCACCGAUGCUUGCUGGGCCCUUUCGUAUUUGUCUGAUGGUACCAACGACAAAAUCCAAGCUGUCAUUGAAGCUGGCGUCUGCCCACGUCUCGUGGAGCUUCUUCUGUAUGCGGCACCUGCUCAGAUUAUUUACAUAGUAUGGUUUAUUAAGAUGCACUGAUAUCGUAAUUUUUUUUUAACUCUUUUUUUUAUUUUUUAUUUUUAUCAGGCAUCCUUCUCCUUCAGUGCUUAUUCCAGCUCUUCGAACUGUCGGUAAUAUCGUCACUGGGGAUGACAUACAAACACAGGCAUGUUACUUUUUUCCGUCUUACAUUUUGCUGGACUUCUCCCUUUCCUUUCUUCUCAUGUUUGGUCAUUUUAUGAACUGUGGAUUAGCAAAUUAUGACAGUAUGCCAAUUUUGUGCUUCGAUCUCUGUAUUCACAAUUCGUAAUUUUAAACUACAAGCAUGAUUUCUUAUAUGACAUUGGUUUAUAUAAUUAAAAUGUGCUUGUGACAUGCUAAUAACUAUUGCAUACUCUUUCUGGAAUUUCUCAGUUGGCUUGUUACUACGAGUGGUGCAGUAGAAACUUUUCCAAUUUUUAAUCCAUUAGGCGUUUCACGUGUAUAUUUUGUGGUUCAUUCUCUGGGUUGCUGCCUUUUCUACUUUUUAUUUUCAUGAGGUUUAUAUACAGCUAUUAGUAUGUUACUUUUAGUUUCUGUUAUUUAUGUAGGCGCUAGUGAAGUUUAAUUAGUCUUAGUUUCCUUUUUUUGGGGUAUUCUAUGCUUUCAGCAAGUCAUUUGUUUCUCCAAAUGCUGCAUAUUUUGCUAAUAAUAAUGGGUGGGGUAUUUUGAAGAAGCUAAAUUUUACAGGUAAUUUGUGUCUGUAGACCUCAACUCUUGGAUCAUAAUUUGUCUAAUGUUUGCGACAAUACUAAGUACUUAAUUGCUAUUAUUGACAGCUAUAAGCCUGGAACUAUUGUUUAAUGUGUGUGUAUUAUAAAUGAACUUCUUAUUUAGGAGUUGGUCAUCUGCAAGAGUUAGCUCCAAGAGUUGGUUUAACUAUUACUUUUGAUCAUUGUAAACAUUGUAGUUGGUAGGUUCUUAUUUUUCUUCCUGGUGUUUUGUUACAGCUUAGUAUUUAGUAAGAAUGGAGUUUGGAUGGGUUCUUUUCUCUAACUUCUUUGUUGUUCAUUUGCUUGAUUGAAAUUCAGAUCAUGCAUAAGUCCUAAUUUUUCGGUCAGUAGGCAUUAUUGCAUUUAUUGUCAUCGUUUUCUUAUUCUUUGAAAAUUAUAAAACUUGUCCAUGUGAAACUUGUGUGUACUUUCUCUUGCAACAUGUUUACUUAAUUCUUAAGAACAAAUUAAUUUUUGAGAUAAUGUUUACAGUCAAGCGACUUAUUUCUUUCUGUUUUGUUGUACGAAGCAUGUGGAAUGUUAAUAAUUUAUAUUUUUGUGAGCUAGUGAAGUCCUUUUACUUACAGUGAAGAGCUUUGAAUGUUUGUUCUAAUAGUUUGUCUUUACUGUGAUAUAUUUGAUGUUUUUUACCCCAAUAUAUUUUAUUUUUCUACAAUUUGUGUACAAGAGUUAUGAUGUUCAAGUAUAUAAAGAGUUGGUAUACAAAUAGUUUUCAGAUUAAUUGAUGCAAAUUUAGGCAUGGACGAUUCAUAGUUUUACUAAUUUACUCUUUGUUGACAUGGAAAUGGGGUGGAUUUUGCUUUAGAACUUUGUUCUUCCGAAUAAAUGAAAGAAGAAAUAGAUAUAUUAAAGAGAUAGAGAAAGAGGUAAAUAAGAUGGCCUUCGUUGAAAUGAAUUUAAUACACGGUCUUGUUUCUUUUAUUUUAUUCUUUCUUGAGCCAAGCUUCGGAAUGAAGAGUUCUUGGUCAGACAGGCCUCUUUCAAAUAGGAUAAUUUUGUCCUUAUCCUAUACACAUGAUACGUCUUAAUUUGUUUCUAGCAUGUUAUCUUUUUAUUUUUUUCCUCCUCUCUUGUCCUAUUUUAUCUUUCCCCACCAAGACACUAAACCUUUUUUUGGUGUUUGCUUUACUUUGGACUUUUCUAAUUGAAAAAAUGUGCACUGAAAUCCCUUUAUGAAAUUUAACAAAGAAUGGAAACUACAUGUAAAACUCUAUCUAGAUCCAAGUUCCAAACUAGUGAAACUCGAAAUCAUUUUAUUCCCUGUGUUGUGUAUUGUCCAAUAGAUUAUACUCCCCAUCAUUUGGCUGAACCUAAGAGUGGAUGAUGAGCACCAAUAACUAAAUGCAAUAUAGAGUUUGAAAUAUUAGGCUUUUCUUGGCAGCAAAUUUAGGAUCGUGUAGUUGCAAAUUGUCUCUAAGCACACAGUUGUAGGUUUAUCAAAUACCCAUGCAAGGUUUAAAGUGCCGUGGCAUGGGGACGUGCCGCUGUCUACCUGGCACGGUACGGCACCGGCACGCUUGCGUGCCGACACAUGGUACGCUUGCGUGCCGAUGAAUACGGACGACCUCUUACUGGCAUACUUUGGCACGGACUUAUUUCAGUUAUUUUGGUUCCAAUAAGCUCUUAUAAAGUUAUUUUGAAAGAUUUAAUCAAAUAAUUAUGAGUAUUUGCUAUGUAUAGCUUACUAUACUCAUUAAUUAAUAUAUUUGUAAAUUUUUUUGUAUGUAAAGUACAAUUAUACCUGAUCCAUAAUAGAAAUUUUUACAGCUUAGAAUUUUUAAAAUGCAAAGAUAUAUUUUUUUCUUUUUUUCUUUUGACCAUAUUAUAGUCUUUCUUUCGUAAAAUACAAAAAAAAGUUUUAAAAAUUAUUUGAAAAAAUUAUUUUAAAAAGCAUUUGAAAAAAAUAUUUUUUAAUUAAUUUUUUCAAAAAAUUAGUAGAUCUAUCAAAAAAAUUAAGCAAUAAAUUAUAUGACAAAUAAAUUAAAUAAAUUUAAGUAUCAAUUGAUUUAAUUUAGCUUUUAAUUUUAUCAGUAUGUUCAAUCUUCUAUUGCAAAAAUAAAAUUUUAUGUUUGAUGUAGCUCAAAAUUUGUUUAUUGAAUUCAAUUUUGUUCCCUUAAUUCGCCAAAAAUUUCACGAUGCCACAAAUUUUGAUAAAAAUAAUUUGUGAAGAAAAAAUAGAUAUUUGUGGUGGAAGCGGAGGGCUGGGACAAAUCUUUUGUCCGUAUAUUGAUAAACAAAAAAAAUUAAAUUAUAAAUUUUUUGACUUACCUAAUAAGUAAAUUUUCGAUUUGCAAUAUAUUUGGGGGGGCAUGGGGUAUCUAGAAUGCUUUGGAUACCCCAAAGAACAAAAAAAGAAAAAAAAACAAAAAGCAAAUAAAAAAAAGCAUAGUGCCGGCCGGCACUGUGCUGUGGCACGCAGCGCCGUGUCGCUUUGCACGGCGCUGCGUGCCGCGGCACGGAGGGGGGUCCGAGACCCCCCCUGUACCGUGCCACCUUCUUGGUGGCACGGCAGGUGCUGCCCUGUCCUGUACGGCACGGGGCGGCACUUUAAACCUUGUACCCAUGUGUAUGCUGCUGUCUUGAGGAUUGAUGAUUGAGCAGACUCUUGUUGUCCUUCGUGUCCAUCAGCUUCAUCAUUUCUUAUCUUUGUGCUGGUUCUCAUGGAAUUGGUUGGAGGAUUAGUCUAAUUUCUUCAAUGUUUGAGAAAUUGAUUCAGAAUUAUUUUUUGUUUUCUAUAACUUCUAUAAUCAAGUACUGCUGAGUCAAAGGUUGGAGAUGAUGGGUGAUUUCUAUGUAUUUUUUGCCAGUUUAGCGCAACAUCCUUCAGUCACGUGAUGCUGAAGUGUUGGUUGUGAAGAGCGAAUUCCUGUUUGGAUGAUAUGAAUCUUAUGUUUAGACAUUCGGAUCUAUGACUCCAAUAUUGUGUUAUAUUGCUUUGAUAUUGUUACUUGUCACCAUUAAUUUUUUUUAACUCUCUAUCCUUGGCUGGUCAUAAACUAAUUAAUAUAAUAUUGACUUUAGAACUAUUUUCAUUGAUGAUUUUCCCAUAUGUUCUCUUGAUUAAUUUGAAUAAUUGACAGUAGUUAAUUUGCAGCUAUUUUCAUUCCUUACAGUAUCUAUUAAGGGUGUUUGAUAAUUUCACCAUAGAUUUUAAUGGUGAGUGUUUUUGUUGCUGAAUUAUGAUGGAUGAUGGAUGUGAAACAGAUUGUAUGGGUUACAUUUGUGAAGCUAUGUUUCUGUUGAGUCUCUAUGUGUAUUCUUAUUGUUACUCUUGCAACUUUGUCUGCUAAGUAUGUUCUCAUUUUUUCCCUUUUUUCUUUUCAAGAUGCAAUUAUCUUUUUUGAAGGAAGAUACAACUAUCUUUGGUAAUCUGUUUUUUAUAUGAAGUUUUCCUGUUUCUUCCUUGCAGUGUGUGAUCGAUCAUCAGGCUCUUCAAUGCCUUUUGAAUCUCUUGACACAUAAUCAUAAGAAAAGCAUUAAGAAGGAAGCUUGCUGGACUAUAUCAAACAUCACAGCUGGAAAUAAGGAUCAGAUCCAGGUAUGUGUAAUGAAAAGUAAUAAAUUUUUACUUAGAUAUCAGGUUCUUUCUUUGUUUUUUGUUGUCUGAUUUUUCUGAGGUCAGAGGAACAUGGAAGUAGAUAGCUUUUAACUCUAUUAUUAUUGGUUUCCAUCAUACUUGAUAAUGGAAAAACAAUUGCUAUUAACUUGCAUUUAUAUAAUAAUAAAGUGAACUUGCAAACUAACUGGCUAUUACAGAUAAAGAAAUGCAAAAGUAUAUCCUUAGAUGCUUUUAACUGUGUGAAGAAACUUGUGGAAAAACAAAAUUAAAAAAAAUAAAAAUGCCAGCUGAGCUACUAAAUUUGCCACAAAAUUGACAUUUGUUAUUAUCUAAAAUCUAGCGUAGACUAUGUGAUCAAUGUUAUUUUAUCUCUAUUUUGUUGUAAUAAACUGGGUUUCCUCAAUAGAAGCAUCAAGAUGAACGUUAAUAUGUUAAUUGAUAUUUAUAUGUAGUGAAUUAGUCUGUAUUGAAUGAGUUGAUAUCUUAUUUCUUUAUUGUUUAUGUUAUAUUUUACUAUUUUGAUGACAUAUAAUUGUUUAAUAAUAGGCUGUGAUUGCUGCUGGUUUAAUUGGCCCUCUUGUGCACCUCCUCCAAACUGCUGAGUUUGAUAUCAAGAAAGAGGCAGCUUGGGCUAUUUCAAAUGCUACUUCCGGCGGCACACAUGACCAGAUAAAGUACGCAGAUACUAAUUUAUGCAUCCUUUGAUAAAUUAUGACAUUAAUAGCUUAGUUGCAGGCCCUGUCAAAUGGAGGAAAUUUUGUAAAACUUCUUUUAUAUUUGAUUGACAUCCCCCCGACUUUUUGUUUGUUUUGAUUAAAAGUUAUUUUAUCAUUUGAAGUGGGGAUCCCGAUAGAUAUAACUGCUCUGGAUAUGUUUUUAGCUGUUAGGUUUAAAUACUCAGCUGAUAGGUGACAGGGGCAUCAAAAUUAAUAGAAUUUCCUAAUCAAAUGAUUGAAAUAACUCGGAUCAAAUGGAACAAAAGUUGAGCAAAGCUGCUGCUGUUCAGAGAAAAUGUAGGAGUCUAUCUCAAGAUGGCCUAAAGUUGGUGGAGUCUGUUCAUGUUUCCUUAAUUGUAAUUACCUAACAAUUUUUUAUUUCCCCCUUCUCAAAUGGAAGAAAAGUUGAAGGUGCUAUUGUUCAAAGAAAAUGUAGGGUCUUUUUCAAAAUGUCCUAUAGUUGCCCGGGUCUGGUCAUUUUUCCUAAGUUGUAAUUACCUAACACUUUUUUAUGCCCCCCCUCCGACAGGUAUCUUGUUAGCCAGGGUUGCAUCAAGCCGCUCUGCGACCUUCUGGUGUGCCCGGACCCACGAAUUGUCACUGUUUGCCUAGAAGGCCUUGAGAACAUCUUGAAGGUCGGGGAGGCUGAGAAGAAUCUGGGCACGACAGGGGAUGUGAAUGUGUAUGCCCAGAUGAUCGAUGAGGCCGAGGGCCUAGAGAAGAUUGAGAAUUUACAGAGCCACGACAAUACGGAGAUUUAUGAAAAGGCCGUGAAGAUCCUCGAGACGUACUGGCUGGAGGAAGAGGAGGACGACACCGCUAUGCCCUCAAGUGGUGAUAAUAAUGGUGCUCAGCCUGGUGGGUUCCGUUUUGGGAGUGAGCAGGUCUCCGUUCCAUCUGGUGGAUUCAAGUUUGGUUGAAAGGUGCGGGCCCUUAGUUUUCUCAAGGUUUUGUUUCGUUUUUCUUUUUGUGGUUGAGGGCUUGUUUCGUGCGACUGGUGGUUAUAUAGUUUAUUAUUAAAAUUAAAUCAAAAGCUUAGGGUCUGAGGAGAACCAAAAACUUUUGUUAAAAAUACCUGCCUGCAGCUUUCUGCAACAGCAGAAGUAGAAAUUUCAAGUUGGAACUUCUUUCAAGGCUCACAAGCUGAUCUCAGCUUCCUGCGGCAGCACCUAGACCUUCUCUUUGCCAAACGGCAGGCUGUUGCCUUUUGGAAUAGAGAAGCUGCUCUAGAAGCUAACCGUACGCACCUGAUUGGGAGGGCUGAAUUAGAGCUUCUGCUUCGAGUCCAGAAGCUUAUUUCAGCCUCUUGCCCCUUCCAGAAUCUCUCGGCCUAUUUCACCUAAUGUCUUGCUUCUGCUUCUCGAUUUCUUUUACAGGUGGUCGAGGGAGACUGAAGCAGAGUGUGCCCCAGCUAGUUGCAUUAGGGGACCGAGUCAGAAAGUCAAAGUCGGGCAGAGUCUGUUGUUGUUGUGUCAUUGUUGGGUCCUGUCGGUCUGGUCUCGGAUGGGUUGUCCCAAAUAAAAAAGGAAGGAGGGUUCUUUUGGUCGCCUCUUUCGGUUCACGAGAAGGUGGAGAAGAUUGUUCGUCGGUCGCAGUCGAUCCCCAUCAAAGGUAUUUAAAGUUACCAGUCUUCUACCGCCUGUAUAGCAUGAGCUUUCCCCGUUUCUCCGAGGUUUAUAUGUUAUGAUAGGUUUGUUGUUGUUAUUAUGGUUUGUCACUUUUGUCGAAACGGUCUCAUGUUGUGACCUGGUAUAUCUAUGAUGUAGCUGUCACGAAAAAAAAUUGUCUUAUCAACAAACUUAGUAUGUAUUUUUAAGAAGAAAGGAAUCGAGAAUUUUAUUUUUGUCACAUCUUAUCUCGUUGCGUCUUGUUUCAUCAAUACAUUAUGUUAUUUGUUGUUUUGCUCUCAUUCGAAUUUUAACCAAAUUUAAAUUAUGCGUGUGUUGUAUGAUAUUAUCAUAGUCGCCAUUGUUGUCGAGCUAUUUUCUUUGUCUUAGAAAAUUGAAUUAUUGAACCCGUAAAUUUUGUGCUUUGUUGAGUCUAUGCUGUUGACUUUUAAUUAGUGUAUAUGUCUGAUUGGUUCUAGCGCUGUUCACCUAAUGACAAUGGGACUAAUAGAUUUUUUUUUUUUUUUUUGUUAUAUAGUUGGGUCCUUAUUACGUUUUUUUGGUCCUCAAACAACGAGGUGGGUGAUACUAAGGUUUUCAAAGUUUAAUUUGUUAUAAUUUCUGGCUCUCGAACUUUCUAAAUUGUUGUCAGCAUGUCGCAUAGUUCAAUUUAGUUGACCGGAUGUUGAUAGGUUUUGCCAAUAUGUUGUUAAUGUGGCGAAUUAGUCGUUGUCACGUUAUCAAUCACAAGUUUGUCGCAUCAGUGGCAUGUCACCAUUCAGUCAACUAUAUUGGACUGUGGGAGUGCAUUACAGCUAUUUAACAAGUUUGAGCUAGAAAUUGCAACAAAUUAAAUUUUGAAGAGUAAAAAAGUGUCACACGCCGCAUAAUUUGAGGACUAUAAUGUGUAAUUUAACCUAUUUUCUGGCUAUGUGAUUGGAGCGCAGACACAUUUUAUUACAGGAAAAAGUGUACAGAGACCCUACACCUUUAGCAUUCUUGUAAUAGAUGCCUGGAGUCCGGCUACUAUACUCUUGUGAGUACGGUCGCCUUCGUACUUAUAAGUUGUUUUCGAUGAUAGAGCUUUCGAAUCGACGAUCCAUAUCGUCAAACAUUAUCUAGAGCAUUUAAAACAUCUAGAAAUCAAAUUUUAUAUUUUUUCGAUAUCAUUUACCUUACGAUCAAAAGCUUACAAAACUGACAAAUUUUAACUGCCGGUAUGAGAUAUUUGCUAGUUUAACGGUAAAAAAGAAUCGGAAUAGAUUGGAUUUUUUAUAGAAAAUUCUAUUCACUACCUAAAUAAAGAUCAAUAACUCUGAUCUUAAAUUGCAGGAUCCAAUCAUCCAUUUUUAGGAUGUUGUUCGAUUUUAAUCGUUCAUUUUAUACCUGCUUGAUAGACUUUAUAUUGACUUCGAAAAAUUACAAAAUUUAUUAUUUAGAAGUUUCAAAUACUCUAGAUCAUAUUUAGCGGUGUGGAUCGUCGAUUCGAAAAGCCCAACAUCGAAAACAACGUAUGAGUACGAAGGGCUAUAUAUACUCAUAAGAGUAUAGUAGUCCUACUCUAGAUGCCUGAUACUUUCAGUUUAGGCAUAGUUAUUUAACAGCCUCAUCAGAUAGCUCAGCAGGGCUUCUCUUCGAUCGAAGUUACUAAUUACAUAGUUGUUUUGAUUGUUUGUAUUGCAUAUAAUUUUUAAUACCUGAAUCUAUGAAAAGAAAGUAAUAAAUUUUACACAUAGAUUCAUUAUGUUCUUCAAUUCUCAUGCUUGAUUAUCAGAAUCGAAGGAAAAGAAGUAAAUCCCUCAAGUGUUUUGAAGUCAAUCUGAAGUUACAUGAGAUCAAAAUGUUUGGCCAAUUCGUAAUUUCGUUCGCACAAAGGCAUAUUAAGGUUUCGUUUGGGAUUGCGGAGAGAUUGUGUUACAUGUCAUGUCGCGAUGAGUCGGUUACGAUAUGUUUUUUGCGGUCUCACCUGAGAACGCAGUAACAUAUCCCUAAAUGCUUUUACACCAACUUUAUUUUAUUUUAUAUUGUCGGAUGAGCCUCAAUAUGAAACUAAGCCUAAACUGUUCGGCUAAAGUUUAGAGACUGAAAAGUACAAAAAUUAAUGGCUUGAGAGUUUUGUCUUUAAAAGUGCUUAAGUUUUGGGGGAUUUUAUUAGGGGUGAAAACGGACCGGGUAUUGUCGGAUAUUUGACAAAAUAGUGUCUGCAUCCAUUUUUUUUUUUUCUCCGGAUACGGAUUCGGAUAAAGAUACAUGUUGGAUGCUAAAUUUUAUUAUCAUAUCCGUUAAAAACGGUUUCAGGGUCAGAUAUUUUUUCGGAUUCGGAUAUGGAUUGGAUAUGUAUUCAAAUAAUAAUAAUAUAUAUUAAUAUGCAUAUACACAAGUAGUUAUUUUAUUUUCCUACAUUGUUUUCUAACCAUAUUUCUUUACAUAUAAAAUAUAUAAUAAUAGCUUGAAGGCUGAAGUAGAAGAGUCUUGAGAAAGCACAAGAAAGAUAGACUCCGGAGGAAUGGGAUUUGGGGGGGUGAGGGGUGGGAAUGGGAAAAAUAUAAAGAUUAUAACAAUAAUCUACGAAUAUUCACAUCCAUAUUCUUUAUUUUAGAUAUUGGAAAAAAUAUAACUCUCUAAAAGACUAAAACCAUACCCGUAUCCGUAUUCAACCGGAUAUGAAAAUUUUCUAUCCGGAUCUGAAUAGUUUUGAAUAUUAUUGAAUACGGAUAGGAAUAUUUUCGGAUAAUAUCCUAUUGUUUUCACUCUGACGACAUAAUUGCUUUCACCCUAUAAUUGAAAAAAUAACAACACGAGAGAGAGAGAGAGAGAGAAGACGAGGGAUGUAGAUCGAGAAAGACGAGGAGCAUAAGAGGAGAUACAUACGAGCGUUAGGGUAGUAAAGGGGAACAAUGAUUGAUGGCAUCUCAGCAAAUGACCAGCAAUUGAGAAGGAAAAAUAUAGAACAGGUGGGUUAGAAAUUUUAGAUUAUCUUAAUCGGUUAAUACGAUGAUAUUCACUCUCUCCCAAAGAAAUGAAUAAGCAUUUUGGAGUGAUCUUAUUUCUGAAUAAAUUCGGCAUUUCUGAUUAAAUUACUCGGUACAUAUAGUUUAACACAUUAUAUUAUAUAAUAUAGAAUUAGACUAGAAUACUAUCAAAUACCAAACUACCAAAUUAUUAGUGCUAUUUGAUUUUUUAGUUUUUUGGAUUGAGAAAUGGAUGGUUAGGAUGAUGUGGGCUUUAGGGUUGAGUGAGUGUGUUGGUUGAAUAGUAUAAUUAAUAUAACGGCAUAAAAAUAUCAAAAGGGUUAAUCUAACAGUGAAAACUCAUCAGCCCACCAUAAUUUUUGAUAAGUUUGCUUAAUUCGAUUAGUACACCUAGCGCGAUAUUAUAUAUAUAUAUAUAUAUAUAUAUAUAUAUAUAUAUAUAUAUAUAUAUAUAUAUAUAUAUAUCAAUCAUUUUUAUUGAAUUUUCAGAGAUCUUAAAAAAAUAACACGAAUGAAACGCGCCCUCAAACGUGUGUGUGUGUGUGUGUGUGUGUGUGUGUGUGUGUGUGUGUGAAAUGAUUGAUUUGUGUGUGUGUUGUAUAUAUAUGAAAUGAUUGAUUUGUUUUCUGCUAAUCAUUGCACUUGCAUUGCGAAAUUGUGAGAAAAUCUAGUCUUUGUUUCCAGAGACAUGGAAGUGACGAAAUUUCUUGAUCUAAAUUUGUGUAAUAUUUCUUUGAGUCAGAAAUAUACAUAAUUUGUAUCUCUGGCAACUUCCGAACUUUAGUUUUGUGUUGACGAUUUGAAUAUUUUGAAUAGAAAAUAUCGAGGGUUUUGAAAAUACUACAUACCGUGAAACAAACAACGGAUUAAAGGGUUUAGAGUGUGAAAAAAUUGAGGAUAGUAGUUGAACUAUUCAUUUACACAUAAAAGGAUAGUAGUUGAACUAUGGAGAGAUAUAGUUUGCUGGAUUUUUUUGCCGAACAAAUUUCAUAGACAUAGAAAAUGUGUAAUCUCUAGCAUUUAUAGACAACUUCUACAUAUUACUUUACAAAUACGCAUAUAUGGCCAUAGAUAAUGUAAAAGAAAUCUUUAGAGUCUUGAAGAAUAAUCUGAGAAACUACUCCAUAUAAUGAUCCUACUACUCUCUAGACAAAAAAAAAGAAAAAAAGAAAAAGAAAACAUCUUCUAGAUUAAAAAAGAUGAUUCUUUUUCUCUGUGGGUGGCAAUCUUUUUCCAGCCAUUUGACAUGGAAGUCCAUGCAUGCAGCUGAGUUUAUUGCUAUUCACUCUUGUCUCUACUUUAAAAAAAGAAAAAAAAAAAACAUAUUCCUUUUACUUUUGGAUGUCACAAAAUUAAAGAAAUUAUGUAGGACAAGUUUUACACAUGCGUGGUAUCUGUUACGUAUAAUAUAAUAUGUGACCUAAUUGGGAAGUUCAAAAUUUGUACACCAUAUGGUGACUUUAAAAGAAUAUAUUUUGUAUAUAUGGAAGUUAAUGAAAGAUAUAUUAUAUGUGGAAUGUGUCUUGCUUAAUGUCAUGUGGUUUAACCGAUAGAAUCUGUCGUUCAAAAUUUGUGCAACACCAUAUAGUGACUUUAAGGAGUACAUUAUGUAUAAGAACUAGCGGAAGGUAGAUUCUGUGUGGAAUAUAUAUUCGCAUAUACCUUGUAUAAGAAUCUUCAUUUUAAAAUUUAUGCAGCACUAUAUGGUAGCUUUUAAAGGACAUAUUCAGUAUAAGAACUAGUGAAAGAUAUAUCAUAUGUGGAAAUAUUUUGCGUAAUACCGUUUGGCCAAUACAAUAGCUUUUGGAUCACUAGUGUAGUUCAAAAUUCAUACAGCACUACAUAACAACUUAAAAAGAAAUGCAUAUUACAUGUUUUAUGUAAUAUUCAUAGUUUAUUUUUUUUUUUGUGUAGAUAGAGUUAGCAAAGAAUAGGUCCACGAACACCAAAUUCACGGUCCGAAUAUAACCACAAAGGAUGAAAAUUGGGCACUAAGAAUUCAAAACUAUCAAAGCUUUUAGGUUCAAAAAAUAGUAUUAAUAUCAAACAAAGAAAGGGAUGAUCACAUAAAUGCAGGCAUUGACUUCUUAGAAACAGCGGAAAGUGAAAGCAAGUUGUCUAGGGAUGUCACCAACCGUCCCUAGAGCAAGUGACAAAGGGUUUACUAGUUGGUACCCAAGGUUUUAAGUUCGAAUCCUAGUUGAUUCACAUUUCCAGCUAAGUUUAUUUCUAAAUGAAAUAAAUGAAGCGGGUAGUAUGCUAUCUAUCUCUCUAAAAAAAAAAAGUUGUCUAGGGAUGUGAUCAAUGGGUAUGGAUAUUCAAAAUAUUAUCCGAAUCCGAACCCGAACGGGGCGGUUUUAUCAGAGCUAAACGAAUAUGAAUUCGGUUAUGGAUAUAGAAAAUAAAAAUUCGACGGAUAUGGAUACGGGUAUAGAUUUUGUAUUUACUUGACCCGAACCCGAAUCCGAAUAAAUUAUAUAUAUACAUAAUCUAUUUUUAUUUAUUUAUAUAAUAUAUAUAAUAUUUAAUAAUUUUUAUCCAUUAGAUCUUCAUCCAAUAGUAUGGAUUUUUAAAAUCUGCCGGGUUGGGGUCCGGGUCCGGGUUCGGGUUUUGAGUUUUUGGUCGGGGACGGAUAUGGUUAUGGAUUUUUAAAACCUAUUGGGUUCGGGUCCGGAUUUGAAUUUUAAUUUUAUUUUUGGAUUUGAAUUUGGGUUUUUGAAAACCCGACCGAAACCCGACCCGUUGACAUCCCUAGAGUAGUCUCUUGAGUUUGGUCCAAAACAAAGUUACUUAAUUUGACUUGAACCUUCUUCUAAAGCUUCAAAAAAGAGCUUUUAGUCUUUUGAGCAAGAAAUGUAGUUUUUAUAAUAGGAAUGUGGUGGGGGGGACAACUUGUUGUGCAUCUCUAGAUUCUCUCCUGAUGUUUUCUCCAUUAUUCCUUAAUUGGUUUGGUAUCUUUUUUUUUUUUUUUUUUUUUUUUUUUUUUUUUUUUUGUAUGUGUGUGUUAGGAGUGUGUAUGGUAUAAGGAAUUAAAGUGUACUUAAAAAGAAGAGACAAAUAAGAGUGGGAAACCAAGCUCUACCUUCUUAAGCCUCUCUUGUCCCUUUGUAGUUUAUAAAAAUAAACACUCUCUACUUGGGGUUUUGUCCCCUCCUUUGCAUUCAUUAUUCAUGCUUUAUAUAUAUACCCUUCUCCCCUACUUUCAUGUGUUUGGCUUUUCUCUUGUUUUUCCAUACUCUAUUUCUUAAAUAUUUUGAGUGUUACUGGUAUCAAUAGAUUAAGUGGAGUUGUUAUCAUGUAUACGGACACACCCAGCUUUUUACGUAAACUAAAAUUUGAAUUUGAGUUUUACUGAAGUUUUGACCUGCAGGUUCUCAAACUCAGAAUUUCAUUUUCUGAUAUCAUACACAAUUAUAUGAAAUAAUCGGAGGACGAUGUUCUAAUAAUUUAUAUUCAACUGGUUGAUUAUAUGGUAAGUGUGACUCUUAUAGAAUUUCUAAUAAGAAAAUAUGUUUAUUUAUUGGUGGUAUUUAUUUGGAAUCUUUUUAUAGUAUUUACAUAACCGAUAUAUGGUCAAAAUAGCUGGCCACGAUAAAAAAAAAGCAAAAUAACCAUAAUAUUAAAAAAUGAUAAAUUUUGAAUGAUUUUGAGAUAUAUUUGAAAGUUUUAAAUUUACAUAAAUAUAUAAAAUAUUUAAAAGGUAAUUAGAAGGGUCAAUAUACAACAUCCUUUUACCAGGAUAUAUAUGCAAUUAUUUCAAAUAAAAAAAAGCACCUUGUGGCGGGAAGAUGAUUAGUAUUGUUCAUCAGUCCAACAAAGGGCUGGCAAUCCAGCUCAUUGUUCACGAGCUAGCUCGUGUUCGACUUAAAAUGAGCUCGAGACCGAUUGUUUAUUUUAGUAAAUGAGUCGAACAAUUUUUCAGCUCGAAAUCUUAACCAGCUGAACAAAAGUUAGGGUGAGCUCGUUUGUGUCGAGCCGGAAACAAGUUGAGGUGAACUUGUUUGUGUUCGGAUUGAUACAACUCGAAUAUAUAUACUAUCGAUAGCACCAAGCGUUUGGUGCUACUGAGUUUUUCGCCGUUAGAUUUAACCCUUUGACUAUUUUCACCCGUUAGAUUAUACUAUUCAACCAACAACUCACUCAACCCUAGAGGGCUCUCAUCAUCCUAAUUGUACAUUUCUUCAUCCAAAGGUCGAAAACCUAAUAGCACCAACAACUUGAUGCUAUUAAUAGCAUUUCAACCUAGUUCUCUCUCUCUCUCUCUCUCUCUCUCUCUCUCUCUCUCUCUCUCUCUCUAUAUAUAUAUAUAUAUAUAUAUAUAUAUAUAGAGUUGAGCUAGAAUACUCUCAAAAGCACAAGGGAGGUGGUGUUUUUGAGUUUUUUAACCAUUGGAUGAGACUGUGGGGUUGAGAUGAUGGUGGUAGGUGGUGUAAGGUGGAAUAGUGUUUGAUCAAGGGUAUUCGUAAUCAAAUGUAGAUCCAAGGGCUAAAACCUAAUAGACAAAGGGGUGAUUCUUCUAAAAGUAUUCUAUCUCAAUUAUAUAUAUAUAUAUAUAUAUAAUAUAUAUAUAUAUAUAUAUAUAUAUCUUAUAUAUAAUAAUAUAUAUAUAUAUAUAUAUAGUUGAGCUAGAAUACUUUUAGCUUUUAAGUUUUUAGCCAUUGGAUGGAGAGAUGUGAGGUUGAGAUGAUGAUGGUAGUUGGUGGUAGGUGGGAUAGUGUUUGAUCCAAAGGCUAUCAGUAAUCAAGGAGUAGAUCCAAGGACUAGAAACUUAGAAGCACCAAGGGAUUGGUAUUUCUAAUAGUGCGUUUGGUUCGAGUUAUGUAAUAUUACAGAGUAUUUUGACAUAUCCAGAUAACUUGAAUUUCGGCGUUAGAUUACUACUGAUACUGCAUUAGCGCGUUUGGUUUAAUACAGUAAUAUAAUACUGGAUUGCAGUGUUUAUAGCAUUACUACAUUUGUUUCAACAUAUAAAAUUUAGUAAUUCUGACAUAAAAAUAUAAUUUUUUCUAAAAUUGUCCUUGUUGUGGUCAUUUGAAUAUUAUUUUUUACUAAAAUAUAAUUUGCACUAGUAAAUUAAUUAUAUUAAGAAGUAAAAAAAUAAAAAGCCCAAACAUGAAAAAAAAAAUUAACGUUGCAAAAAGUUAAUUUCAACCCAUAAAAGAAAAUAAUAGGUGUUCGUGCGAGAGAGAGAAAAAGAUAGAGAGAGAACGAGAGAGAGUGGAGUGCGAGAGAGAGAGCGAGAGAGAGCGGCGUGCGAGAGAGAGGGGGGAGGGCGUGGGAGAGAUGAAAACAAUACUGUUAAUUGGGGUUGGGGUGUCGGAGGAUAAAAUUGUUAUUUUACAUAAUAUGUAGUAUUACCGGUUUUCAGUAAUGCAAAAUACACGACCCCCUCUCGUUAAUAUUUUUGGUGUAAUCCUGCUCGAUUUGUAAUGUUACAUUAACGACUAGAUUAUAUAGCGGAUGAACCAAACACGAAAAUCCUGAUAGGAUUAUCUGUAAUUCUGCCAUGAUAACUCGAACCAAACGCACCCUAAAAGUAUUUUAGCUCAAUUUUAUAUAUAUAUAUAUAUAUAUAUAUAUAUAUAUAUAUAUAUAUAUAGAAGGCCCUGGGGUGCUUUCGGAAGCACGGAGCGCUCCGUGCUUCCACUUUGUUUUCGAUGUUGGGACUUUCAAAUCGACGAUCGGCUUCGUUAGACUUGAUCUAGAGUAUUUGAAGUAUCUAGAAAAUAAAUUUUGCGAUUUUUCGAUAUCAUUUGCCUAGUGAUCGAAGUGGCCAAAAUCAACGGCUGAAAUAAAAAUCUCACAAAAUAUGAUGAUAUGACAUUAAAAUUUUAGAUCAAAGUUAUUGAUCUUGUUUAUAUGGUAUAAAAGAAUUUUCUAUCAAAAUUUCACGUGAUUUGGAUAUUUCUACACCGUUAAACUUGCAACCGGCUCACCACGGCCGUUAAAAUUAUUGAUUUUGAGCCCUUCGAUCACUAGCAAAUGAUAUCGAAAAAUCGCAAAUUUAAUUUCUUGGUACUUUAAAUACUCUAGAUCAACUCUAACGGAGCCGAUCGUCGAUUCGAAAGUCCGAACAUCGAAAACAAAGUGGAAGCACGGAGCCCUCCGUGCUUACGAAAGCAUACCAGCCCACUCUAUAUAUAAUAUAUAUAUAUAUAUUGAAUUAGACUACUAUGCUAUUAAUAGCACCAAGUCAUUGGUGUUACUAAGUUUUUGGUAAUUAGAUUAAGAGAUGUGUGGUUAGGAUGAUUGGGCCCUCUAGGGCUGAGUGGGUGUUGGUUGAAUAGCAUGAUCUAACGGGUGAAAAUGAUCAAAAUGGUAGAUCUAACGACGAAAAACUUGGUAGCACAAGUGUUUUAUGUUAUUAAUAGCAUAGUAGCCGGACUAUAUAUAUAUAAUAUAUAUAUAUAUAUAUAUAUAUAUAUUAUAUAUAUAUAUAUAAUAGAGUGGCUGGUAUACUUAUGGAAGCACGGAGCCUCCGUGCUUCAAGUUGUUUUCGAUGUUCGAACUUUCGAAUCGACGAUCGGCUCCGUUAGAGUUGAUCUAGAGUAUUUGAAGUACCUAAAAAAUAAAUUUUGCAUUUUUCGAUAUCAUUUGCUAAGUGAUCGAAGGGGCUCAAAAUCAAUAAUUUUUAACGGCCGUGGUGAGCCGUUGCAAGUUUAACGUGUAGAAAUAUCCAAAUCACAUGAAUAUUUGAUAGAAAAUUUUUAUACCAUAUAAAACAAGAUCAAUAACUUUGAUCUAAAAUUUUAAUGUCAUAAUCAUCAUAUUUUGUAAGAUUUUUAUUUUUCAGCGUUGAUUUUGAGCCACUUCGAUCAUUAGGCAAAUGAUAUUGAAAAAUCGCAAAAUUUAUUUUCUAGAUACUUCAAAUACUCUAGAUCAAGUCUAACGGAGCCGAUUGUCGAUCUAUAAUAUAUAUAUAAUUAGAUAGUGCGGCUAGGAUGCUUAUGGAAGCACGGAGGGCUCCGUGCUUCCACUUUGUUUUCAUGUUCGGACAUUCGAAUCGACUAUCGCUCGUUAGACUUGAUCUAGAGUAUUUGAAGUAUCUAGAAAGCAAAUUUGCGAUUUUUCGAUAUCAUUUGCCUAGUGAUCGAAGUUGCUCAAAAUCAACGGCUGAAAAUAAAAAUCUUACAAAAUAUGAUGAUAUGACAUUAAAAUUUUAGAUCAAAGUUAUUGAUCUGUUUUAUAUGGUAUAAAGAAUUUUCUAUCAAAAUUUCAUGUGAUUUGGAUAUUUCUACACGUUAAACUUGCAACCGGCUCACCACGGCCGUUAAAAUUAUUGAUUUGAGCCUCUUCGAUCACUAGGCAAAUGAUAUCGAAAAAUCGCAAAAUUUAUUUUUAGGUACUUCAAAUACUCUAGAUCAACUCUAACGGAGCCGAUCGAUGAUUCGAAAGUCCGAACAUCGAAAACGACUUGGAAGCAUGGAGGCCUCCGUGCUUCCAUAAGCAUACCGGCACCUCUCUCUCUCUCUCUCUCUCUCUCUCUCUCUCUCUCUCUAUAUAUAUAUAUAUAUAUAUAUAUAUAUAUAGAGUUAAGCUAGUAUACUAUCGGUAGCACGAAGGCCUCUGUGCUAUCAAGUUGUUUUCAAUGAUGCGGCUUCCAAGUCGACGAUCGGCUCCGUUAGACUUGAUCUACACUAUUAAAAGUAUUUGAAAACUAAAUUUCAUAAUUUUUCGGCAUCAUUUAUCUAUCAAACGAGUAGUCUAAAAAUGAACGGCUAAAAAUAAAAAUCUCAGAAAAAAUGAUGAUAAAAAACUUUAAUUUAAGAUCAGAGGUAAUGAUCUUACUCUAAAUAUUGAAAAGAAUUUUCUAUAAAAAUUGCAUCAGAUUUGGAUUGUUUUAUACCGUAAAAUUUACAAACGCAUCACUUCUAUCAUUAAAAUUAUCAAUUUUGAGACAUUUUGAUCACUAGCCAAAUGAUGUCGAAAAAUUAUGAAAUUUAGUUUUCAAAUAUUUUCAAUAGUUUAGAUCAAGUCUAACGGAACCGAUCAUCGAUUUGGAAGCCGCAUCAUUAAAAACUUAGUAGCACGGAGGCCUUCGUGCUAACGUAGUAUACCAGCCUAUAUAUAUAUAGGCUGGGGCUACUAUACUCAUAUGAGUAUAGAGCCCUUUGUACUCAUAAGUCUUCGACCGUUCAGAUGAAAAAUAUGCGGUUAGGAUGAAAGUGGUUACGGUUAGGUUGAUAGUGGGCCCCCUAGGGUUGAGUGGGUGGUUGGUUGAAUAGUAUAAUCUAACGGGUGAAAAUGAUUAAAAGGUAUAUCUAACGGCUAAAAACUUAUGAGUACAAUAGGCUCUAUACUUAUAAAAGUAUAGUAGCCGGACUCUAUAUAUAUAUAUAUAUAUAUAUAUAUAUAUAGAGUUAAGCUAGUAUACUAUCGGUAGCACGAAGGCCUCUGUGCUAUCAAGUUGUUUUCAAUGAUGCGGCUUCCAAGUCGACGAUCGGCUCCGUUAGACUUGAUCUACACUAUUAAAAGUAUUUGAAAACUAAAUUUCAUAAUUUUUCGGCAUCAUUUAUCUAUCAAACGAGUAGUCUAAAAAUGAACGGCUAAAAAUAAAAAUCUCAGAAAAAAUGAUGAUAAAAAACUUUAAUUUAAGAUCAGAGGUAAUGAUCUUACUCUAAAUAUUGAAAAGAAUUUUCUAUAAAAAUUGCAUCAGAUUUGGAUUGUUUUAUACCGUAAAAUUUACAAACGCAUCACUUCUAUCAUUAAAAUUAUCAAUUUUGAGACAUUUUGAUCACUAGCCAAAUGAUGUCGAAAAAUUAUGAAAUUUAGUUUUCAAAUAUUUUCAAUAGUUUAGAUCAAGUCUAACGGAACCGAUCAUCGAUUUGGAAGCCGCAUCAUUAAAAACUUAGUAGCACGGAGGCCUUCGUGCUAACGUAGUAUACCAGCCUAUAUAUAUAUAGGCUGGGGCUACUAUACUCAUAUGAGUAUAGAGCCCUUUGUACUCAUAAGUCUUCGACCGUUCAGAUGAAAAAUAUGCGGUUAGGAUGAAAGUGGUUACGGUUAGGUUGAUAGUGGGCCCCCUAGGGUUGAGUGGGUGGUUGGUUGAAUAGUAUAAUCUAACGGGUGAAAAUGAUUAAAAGGUAUAUCUAACGGCUAAAAACUUAUGAGUACAAUAGGCUCUAUACUUAUAAAAGUAUAGUAGCCGGACUCUAUAUAUAUAUAUAUAUAUAUAUAUAUAUAUANNNNNNNNNNNNNNNNNNNNNNNNNNNNNNNNNNNNNNNNNNNNNNNNNNNNNNNNNNNNNNNNNNNNNNNNNNNNNNNNNNNNNNNNNNNNNNNNNNNNNNNNNNNNNNNNNNNNNNNNNNNNNNNNNNNNNNNNNNNNNNNNNNNNNNNNNNNNNNNNNNNNNNNNNNNNNNNNNNNNNNNNNNNNNNNNNNNNNNNNNNNNNNNNNNNNNNNNNNNNNNNNNNNNNNNNNNNNNNNNNNNNNNNNNNNNNNNNNNNNNNNNNNNNNNNNNNNNNNNNNNNNNNNNNNNNNNNNNNNNNNNNNNNNNNNNNNNNNNNNNNNNNNNNNNNNNNNNNNNNNNNNNNNNNNNNNNNNNNNNNNNNNNNNNNNNNNNNNNNNNNNNNNNNNNNNNNNNNNNNNNNNNNNNNNNNNNNNNNNNNNNNNNNNNNNNNNNNNNNNNNNNNNNNNNNNNNNNNNNNNNNNNNNNNNNNNNNNNNNNNNNNNNNNNNNNNNNNNNNNNNNNNNNNNNNNNNNNNNNNNNNNNNNNNNNNNNNNNNNNNNNNNNNNNNNNNNNNNNNNNNNNNNNNNNNNNNNNNNNNNNNNNNNNNNNNNNNNNNNNNNNNNNNNNNNNNNNNNNNNNNNNNNNNNNNNNNNNNNNNNNNNNNNNNNNNNNNNNNNNNNNNNNNNNNNNNNNNNNNNNNNNNNNNNNNNNNNNNNNNNNNNNNNNNNNNNNNNNNNNNNNNNNNNNNNNNNNNNNNNNNNNNNNNNNNNNNNNNNNNNNNNNNNNNNNNNNNNNNNNNNNNNNNNNNNNNNNNNNNNNNNNNNNNNNNNNNNNNNNNNNNNNNNNNNNNNNNNNNNNNNNNNNNNNNNNNNNNNNNNNNNNNNNNNNNNNNNNNNNNNNNNNNNNNNNNNNNNNNNNNNNNNNNNNNNNNNNNNNNNNNNNNNNNNNNNNNNNNNNNNNNNNNNNNNNNNNNNNNNNNNNNNNNAAUAUAUAUAUAUAUAUAUAUAUAUAUAUAUAUAUAUAUAUAUAUAUAUAUAGAAUUGAGCUCCUAUGCUUUUAAAAGUAACAAGUCAUUGGUGCUUGUAAGUUUUCGGCUCUUGGAUUAAAGGAUGUGCGGCUAGGAUGAUGUGGGCCCCUUAGGGUUGAGUGGGUGGUUGGUUGAAUAGUAUAAUCUAACGGGUAAAAAUGAUCAAAGGCAGAGAUCUAACGGUAAAAAAUUUACAAGCACCAAGUGCUUGGUACUUUUACAAGCACCGUAGCCGGACUCUCUCUCUCUCUCUCUCUCUCUCUCUCUCUAUAUAUAUAUAUAUAUAUAUAUAUAUAUAUAUAGUUGAGCUAGAAUACUAUCGGUAGCAAACGAACUCCGUUGUUACCCAAUUGUUUUCGAUGACGGAGUCUCCAAACUGACGAUCGGUACCGUUGAACAUGAUCUAUACCACUCGAAGUGUUUAGAAAUCAAAUUUCAAAUCUUUUCGACAUCAUUUGCCUAAUGAUCAAAGCGUUUUAAAAUUUGUAAUUUUAAUGGUCGAUAUGAAGCGUUUUCUCGUUUUACAGCGUAAAGAUAUCCAAAUCAAUUGAAUUUUUGUUAGAAAUUUUUUUAAAUUAUUUAAAACAAGAUCUAUACUUGUUCUUAAUUACAAGACUCCUAUCAUCAUUUUUUAAAGAAUAUUUAUUUUCAGCCGUUCAUUUUUGUGUCCACUUGAUGGAUAAGAGAACAAUAUCGAAAAUGUAUGAAAUUUGAUUUCUAAAUACUUCAAGUGGUAUAGAUCCUGUUCAAUGGUGCCCAUUGUUAAUUUGGAGACUCCAUCAUCGAAAUCAAAUGGGUGGCAACGGAGCCCGUUUGCUAUCGAUAGUAUUCUAGCUCAACUCUCUCUCUCUCUCUCUCUCUCUCUCUCUUCUAUAUUAUAUUAUAAUAUAUUAUAUAAUAUAUAUAUAUAUAUACUCAAUUUUUAUAUUCUGAAUAAUAAGCCAACCCAAAUGUAUAGAAACCAUAUUUUGCAAAUUUUAGUUAUGAGAUUAAAAUUCAAAUUUUCUAAUUUUCUCUCAACUUUUCACUCAAGUCUAACAUGAGUUAAAUAAACGAACAUGAGUCGACCUCAGCCGGCUCGUGUCCGGCAAGUUGACGUCUUAGUCCAACAACUCGAAUCUUAAAGAACCAAAAUGUUCGUAAUCUUAUCUCUCUGAUGAGAUUGUCUUACUUGCAUUUUACUGGUCGUACACAUAAAAAAUCUCGAGUUUGAUAGGAUGAAUGAGUUAAAAAGUUAGAGCAAAAUAGUUAUUGCAAAACUCUAUGGAGCUCAAUUUUGUAAGUUAUUUAUUAUAUAUAAUUUAGAAAAUAAAUUAUCUUUUUUUUUUUUUUUUUUUUUUUUUUUUUUUCCUUUCACAGUAAUGUAUAUGGAAACACAAUUUAUGUGAAGCGCAUAAAUUAAUAUCUCUGUUUUUUUUAGGGAGGGGUUAUUAAAAUAGAGCAUAAAGCGUUACAACCAUUGAACCGGUCCGGUUCAAUCAAACCGGAGCGGGCCCCACUCUUGUGACUACCAAGUAACAGUAACCCAGGAGCGUCCCGUACAACCCGCGCAAUCGAACCGUAUGAUCCCGAUCCAACGAUCCCCGAUAUCGCACCUGUAAUAUGACGUAAAUACCCCCGCGCACGCCGCCGCCACACUGAACGGGAGAGGGUGGCAAAUUAGUAACCAAGUAUAAGGGCAUUUUCGUCAUUUCAUAGGUCUCUGUUUUAGGGUUUCUUGGGGCGUCGAAAGCCGUUACGCCCCGCUUUUCCCCGCACCCCCUAUCACGUGCGGAUCACGUGCUCGGGCCUAGACCGAACAGCGUACACCGAAUCCACCCAAUCAUAAACAGGUGGAAAUUUGCAUCAUGACCCACUAGACAAUUGAGAAUUUGAAAUAGCCCAGUCCUAAUUUUUUUUGGGGUAAAUAUGUAUGAGCUCUUUAAAAUUUUUUAAUUUUUAAUUAGAGUAAUUAAUGCAUCCAAAUUAAUACAUUCAUACAUUUUAUCUAUUUAUUGAUUGAAAUUUGUUUAAUUUAUUUGUUAUAAAAGUUUAAAUUAUUAUUUUAAAUUUGAAUCAAAAGAUUUGGUUGAACGACUCCUUAUUAGCGAUCAACAAUUUCACCGCUGAAAAAGUGUUAAAAAUAGUUAAUCCAAUAUGAAUAACACCAGUUUUAUGCAACUGCAUUUAAAUUAAUUAACGAACUAAAAAAUAAGAACGAUUUAAAAAAUAAUAUUCAAAAAAUAAUAAUUCAAAAGAUUCGUUUCAAAACCAUCUACAAUUGAGAUUGCGGUUGUAUAUGUUUAUCAUCAUCAAUUCUAUGAAGCAUGGCCACUUUGUUCCUCAAACUUUAAUUUGUUAUAAUUUUCAGUUUAAGUUUUUUAAAUUGUUGUAAUUAAAUUUAUAAUUUAAUUUAGCUGGUUAAAUAUUCAUGUCUUGUUACUACGAAAAUGAUGUAGCGCUAUAGUAAUUGAUAAAACGAUACUGAUUAUAACGUCCUAUUAUUUUUAUAUUAGCGAACAAUUAAUGUUCAAUCAAAUAAAAUGUGUUGCGGGACUUAAAUUUUAAUACUUUAAAAGUGAGUUAGAAAUUAUAAUAAAUUAAGGGUAAAUUUUGCUUAUUUACCAUUUAUUGCUAUUUAAAAUAUUUAAAUUUAUCCUGAAAUUAUCAAAAUAUUCUUUUAAAAUCCAAUUCUAUUAAUAAACUCUAGGUAAGAUGAGGAUAUUGGACGGAAUUAGUUUAAAUUAAUAAGGGUAUUUUGAUAAUUUGAAGUUUGAAGGGCAUGUUAGCUAUUAUCCCGUGAAAUUAUCCAUAAAUUUUAAUAAUUUAAAAAGUGAGUUAGAAAUUGUAAUAAAUUUAAAGUACAAAUUUUGCUUUUUUAUCAUUUAUUACUAUUCAAAAUUUUCAAAUUUAACCAAAACUCACCAAAUUAAUAUUCAAAAAUCCAAUCCUACUAAUAAACAUUAGGAAAAACAGGGAUAUUUGAAUGAAUUAUUUAAAAUCAAUAAUGGUAUUUUUAUCCUCCACGAAUAAAUAAAAUAUUUUAAAGUUCUAUUGGGCUCUAUAGGGCAUAUUAGAAUAUUAGGUUAUUUCAUAAAAUUAAAAUUUGAGAACUGAAAUGCCACACGUUUAUAGUUUGAGGACCCAAAGUAUAAUUUACUCCGAAAACAACCAAUAGAAAACACCAAAAAUGGCUUAGCUUACGCUGUUCGCUGUUUCCUCGGACACAGCGGAUGUUCGAAGCUUCUACACCAUUCGUUUGUCGGUUUAAGCAGUAUAUUGUUAUUUAGUCCUUGAACUAUGAGCUUGUAAAACUUUAGCCCCCCAAACUUUAAUUUCUUCUAAUUUAUGGCUCAAAUUUUUAAAAUUAUUGCACAAAUCUUACAGUGCAAUUUAAUUAACUAAAUAUUAAUAAUAUAUAAUAAGAUACCUCUUCAAUUUUACAUCAAUGAUGUGGCCGUAUUUAGUUAAAUAAAUUAUAUUAUAAGAUUUAGUUAUAAUAAUAAUUUAAAAAAUUUGAACUAUAAAAUCCACAAAUUAAAUUGUUAUAAUUUGAGGGUCCGAGUUGCAAUUUACCCUGAAGUAAACACUGAGCACACAAUACGAUAGCUUGCGCCCCAAGCCGAUUCCGCAAUGACGUCAUAAAUAAUAAAAUUUCCAAAAUAUUACUUUACUAAUUUAGGUAAAAUGUUUGGAUUUGGUCCUUGUGUUAUUUUAGUAUCGCAAAUUCGUCCCUACACUUUUAGUUUAUACAGGCAUUUUAAUUUUUAUUUAGGCUAAAUUACAGAAACCCCCCUAUAGUUACUCUCUUUUUUACUUUUUCUAUUUAAUUUUUAAAAGCCCAUAUUUUGCUCCCUUAAAAUUUUAAAAAUAUUUUCAGAAAGAAUACAACAUUAAUGGAGAGAGUAAAAUGACUAAACUGUCAUUACUUUUUCGAUAAAAAAAUAAUUUUUUAAUAUAUUUCUGUCAUUUUGAAAAUUUUUUUGAUAUAAAUUACAACAAAAUAGACGGAAUAAUAUUAGAGCCCUAAUGGACGGGAGCUAAAUGCAACAACUUAAAAUAUUGAGAGAGUAAAAUAUAAAUUUUAAAAAAUUAGGAAGGAAAAAUAAAAAAUAAAUAUUUUAAAAAAAUUUCUAUAAUUUAGCAUUUUAUUUAUUAUUUUUAAAAAGUAGACUUUCAAUAUAAAAUGAUUUUGAAUAUGUAUGAAUCUAAGUAUUACAGUGCUGAUACUGCUCGUGUCAAUAAGCUCGAACCGAUAUAUAACAUAGUGUAAAUGUCAGUAUAUGCUGACACCGUAUCGAUAUAUUUUGUGAUAGCUAGAUCAUAAUUCUUAUUUAAAGCAAACUAAAUAACUAAAUUAUUUCCAGUACAAAAAUAAAAUCACAAAAUUUAUAAAAAAAAUAUCGGUUUUUUCUUUUAAAAUUUUCGAUUAAUGCACUAGAGUAUUCACUUAAGAGCAUUAAGGACUAAACCACAAUAUCCCAAAUAUCCAGGGACUGCUGCACAUUUUAACCCCGUUAUUUUACUUAUUUAUAAUCAAUUAUUAUUAAUUUCACCAAUUAAUCGCUCCAAAAAUAGAAAUAAAAAAGGACCGAAUAAAAAAAUAAAAAGAAUCUUUUCUCUCUCCGUAUAAAGACACUCACCAACGAGCUCUCUUCGUAGUAUCCUCUGAUCGAAGAGAGAGAGAGAGAGAGAGAGAUCCUCUGUUACUUCACGUUCGCGUUUAGAGAGAGAAAGAGAGAGAGAGAGGAAGAGGUUUCGAUCGAUCGAUCGAUCGCUUCAGCUUCUAUCUCGUCAUCGGAUCGCGCAACAUCUCGACGAUCGGGAUCGUUUUCGAUUGGGUUGGUCGAUCGGCGAGCUGAGAUGGAUUCGUUAGACGAAAAGGUGAGCUCGAUCGAUCGCGAGAUCUCUCUAUUUUUUUGCCUUUUUUUUUUUUGUUUUCUGGGUGAUUUCUGAUGGAUUGGGGGGUUUUUAGGGCGCGGGAUCGGUGGAUCGGGGGAGCGGCGGAGAGGAGCGGAGGUGCUGCGCAGAUUGCCGUACGACGAAGACCCCGCUGUGGAGAGGUGGCCCCUCGGGUCCCAAGGUGCGUAUCCCGAUCGAAUUUCUCGCCGAUUUUAUCUUCUUUUGUUUUUGCCCCCCAUUUUUGCUCGAUCCGAUGUUGAUGAGGAUGAUGGGGGGGGAGGAGGAGAGAGCCGCUGUGCUGCUCAUGGCCUUGUCCUCCGGGUUCCUCUAUGCUUAAAUAUUCGUGCCGAUGAACGAUGAUGAUGAUGAUGAUGAUGAUGAUGAUGGAUGGAUGGAUGGAUGGAUGGAUGGGGGUGACGACGAUCGCCAACACGAGACCGCCGAAUCCGCCGCCCAUCGUGCUUUGAGAUUCGCGCGAAUGAUUUGUUGGAUUGGGGCGGUGUGGAUUUGAUGGUCUCUCAUCAUCGGGUACUACCAGAAGAGUGACGAUGAUGGAUGGUGCUAGAUUAUUCUUUUUCUCUUUUUUUUAAACUUUUCUUGGGGUUGAGAGAGAGAGAGAGAGAGAGAGAGAGAGAGAGAGAGAGAGAGGGGCAUGCUCCCUUGUGUUACCGUACAGUGUUAGUACCGUACAUGAAGUAGGGAAUUUUGUGUGAUGUUAUUUUGUGUAGUUUAGAAGGAAAAAAAAAAAUAAUUAAGUGUUAAAAUUGUAUUUAGACAAAUUUUGGGAUACUUAACCUUCUAGAUUGAGUCCCAAAAGUUCUAAAUUUAAUUUAUAUGUUAUAUAUAUUUUCUUUCUAUUAUUUUAUUGUUUUUUUUGUUCGAUUACCCGGCAUGACAUAUAUAUAGUUCACAUGCCAUUUAUAAUCCACAUGAGUGGAAGUGAGCAACAGAUGUUAAGACAAAAUUUAGAACAUUUUUUACUGAAAAAUUUUAUUUGUACCCUUGGUACACUCUAGAAGGGUGUAUAUGUUUCCCUCCUAAGGCUGCGUUUGGUUCGGGUAUAAGUAAGAACUGCUAGUUCUAGGGAUAGGUACAAGUUCAGGUAUAAGCAAGAACUAGACGAAUUUUGCGUUUGGAUGAAAAUUGAGUUGUUCCUAGGAAUAAGGUAAAUAGUAUUUGGAUGAUUAGAUUGGAACAAGAGGAAUAAACGUUAUAAUUUGAAAUUAAAAUUAUAUUAUGUAAUUAAUUAACAUAAAAAUAUUACUUAAAAAUAAAUAAAAAAUUAAUUUUUAAUAAUUAAUUAUAAAUAAUAAUUAAUAAUAAUAAUUAAUUAUAAAUAAUAAAUUAAUUAUUAAUAACGAUUAUCUAAUUAAUAAUAAUAUUAUUAUUAAUUAUUAAUAAAUAAUAAAAAUUAUUAAUUAUUCUUAUUAAUUAAUUAUAAAUAAUAAAUUCGGAAUUUGAACAAAGAUAAGAGACCACUUCAAGGGAUGCCAAUGGUGAUGGAUACUCAACAUUUUUCCGAAUUCGGAAUUGAGCGAAUUUAUUUGAUGCUAAACAGAUAUGAUUUUGGAUAUAGAUAUCAAAAAUAAAAAUCCGACGAAUAUAAAUUUGGAUAUGAAUUUUGACCGUAUCCAACUCGACCCCGAAUUUAUUUUAUAUUUUAUAUAUAAUAUACAUAUAAAAAUUUGAUAUUAUAUUUGAAUUUAUAUUUUAAAAAUUUAGAUUUAAUGUAAUAUAUUUUAAAUAUUGAAACCGAUUGUCUCUAGAGCAAGUGGCAAAGGGCUGGCGAUUGGUACUCGAGACUCAAGUUCGAAUCCUAGUUGAUUCACAUUUCCAGCUAAGUUUAUUUCUUAAUGAAUUAAACAAAGCGGGUAGCGUGCUACCCAUCUCUCUAAAAAAAAAUUUUUUUUUUAAUAUUGAAAAGAGAAAUAAUUGUUUCGGGUUCAGAUUUUUGGAUUCGGGUUCGGGUUUCAGAUUUUUGAUCGAGUUCGGAUUUGGAUAUGGAUUUUUAAAAUCUGCCGGGUUCAGAGUCAAGUUCGGAUUUGGGUUUCAGGUUUGAGUUCGGAUAUUUAAAAAUCUGUCUCGAAUCCGACCCGUCGACAUCCCUAUCUUUGAAUGAGGGAGUGUAAGAUACACACUUUUUUUUUUUUUUUUUUUUUUUUUUUUUGUGAAUUUUUUUAUGAAUUAGAUGGAGAGUUUCAUUUUGGUUUCUAAGUUUUAACUCGCUACAUAAUUUAUCCCACGCUGUCUAACUUCGGGUCUCAUCAAGAGAGUAAAAUGAUAAAAAUGAUGCCUUGUCAUUUUUUUUGAACCCUAUUAGUUACAAGUGCUACUCAAACAAUCUUGCUAAUUUGUAUAAUUAUAUUUUUAUAAAAUAUUAAGCGGGUUUAAAUUUUUAAACAUAACAAAUUCUAAAAGCGUGACCGAUCGAUUUAUUAGACUUUCGAAGUUUGAAGCUAAUGUGACAUAAUCUACGAAUUGGAGUGAAAUUUCGAGUGAGUGGUGUAACUUAUGCCUAGCUAUAAUCGGUACGCAGUUUAUCAAGUUGAGGAUUUCUUCAAUUGGUAAUGGAGUGGUAUAACUUAUGCCUAUAAUCGGUACGCAGUUUAUCAGGUUAAAUAUUACUUCAAUUGGUGCGAGUUUGGGUUCAGUUUACAGACCAAUUAAUCUGGGAGGUGUUGCGUUUAAUGUAUAAACUGACUAGAAUUGUAGUACUCAAUUCAGUGAGUUGGGUCAGGCGUGAGAUUUGUUUGCGAGAGAAGAAACUCAUUUUUGUCAUAGUUAUUUCGUAAUCAUCCAAUCAAAUAUCUUCCUAUUAUAUAAAAACACACAAAAAUAAAUUGUAAAGCAGUAUUUUAAUUUGUAAUUGUCGCAUUAUCUUUUAUUUGGAUUCUUCUUCAUCUCGCUUUAAGAGCUGAACUCAACAGUUUCGUCCGACACUUCAUUUGGGCACCCAAUCCUUUCUGUCCCAAUCAUUUCAAGAAGGUACCGCAAUAUUUCCUCAUGUUAGAACAAAAUAUUUCUUAUACACUGUCCUAAAAUAAGGAAAAAACUUCAAAUACCCCCAUUAUUUCACACUUUCUCAUUUUAGUACCUUGUGAUUUAAAGUGUAUCAAUUUAGUAUCAUGUGGUUUCAUUUUUAUCUUUUUAUUAUCGAUUUCACUAAUUUUUUUGUUAAAUCAGUGAUAAAGUUAAAACUAAACGGUGCUAAAGUGAAUAUUCGAUAAAUCUAGAUAAGGUAUCUGAAGCUUUUUGUAUAUAAUUUAACAAAAUAUUAACGGAAAAGCUGACGAAAAGAUAAAAAUAAAAUCACGGGACACUAACUUGAUACAUUUUAAACCAUAGGGUAUUAAAGUGAGAAAGUGCGAAGCUACAUGGGUGGUUUUUGAAGUUUAUCCUAAAAUAAAAUUAACAUUUUACCUCCGUUUAGACCCUUUAUUAUAUUAACGGCACAAUAAAUUUUAUUUACGGUAUUUUUAAUAAGAGUUGAGCUUAUGUAUUUUCAAAAGCACAGAAAUAUCUGUACUUGCAAUUUUUUAGCUGUUUAAUCAUCUUAAGAUUCAUACAAUAUUAAUAAAUGUAACUUAACGGAGCAUAUCGUUAACUGUAGCGCGAAUUCAUAUCGUUAACUGUAGCGCGAAUUUUGAAAUGAUCCGACGAUUAAAAAGUUACAAGCGUAACUACUUUUAUGCUCUGAAACUCAACUCAUUUAAUAAUAUAUAAAUAUAAUAAUUCUUACAGAUAUAUAUAUAUAUAUAUUUUUUUCCAAACAGACUUCUAGAGCUGGAAACUGGAAAGCAGUCUCUGGUACUUUCCGCCGUAGCAGACUGCUCUGCGGCGCGGGUUAGCAAACCGCACACCUGGGCCGCGCGAAUUCCAUGACAGCAGCACUUUUGUUGGACUGUCUCAAAAAAUUGAUGAUGGUCUCGGGCACUUGAUUCUGCCGCACCUGAGCGUCUGACCGAUUCGCAUGCACCGUAGAGUUAUUGAGCUAGAGGAUUGAACAAGAUUAAUUACUUUGUUUCACAUUGUACUAGUUUUUUAUGCUCCUAUUCAUCUGAGACCUAUAUAUAAUUUAAACCUCUCUCUCUCUCUCUCUCUCUCGAGCUUUCUUCAGCCGUCACUUCCACCAGCCGGUUAUGCUAUUUUUCAGCAACCGCCCCCAAAAAAAAACGAAAAAAAAAGGUUGUACUCUGUAUCGGCAACUCUCCGUCCAUUGUUUCACCAACUCCUUACAAAUCCGAGCAGCCUCCAAUGGAUCUGAGAGCAAAUUUCUAAAAAUAACAUUAUUUCUAUGUCGUCGGAGCACCCACCAGAUUGCUGCUAGGAAGCAUUGCCUCUUCACAGCCGCCUGAUCCUUCCCUCUUUCCGUCUCAUCCUUUUCCUAAAGGGCUCUGACAUCUCGUCAAACUGGAAGCACCAUAAGAAAGCGGCUAAACACACAAGUCCUGAGUAGGUGAUUCACUAUUUCUUGCGCACAUGCACACAGAACGUACCAUUGAUACCCCGUCCACCAUCUCUUAUUUAAAUUAGGGAAAACUUCAAAAACCCUCCCUGUGGUUUCGUAGUUUUUCACUUUGCCCCCCCUGUGGUUUAAAAUGUAUCAAAUUGCUCCCCUGUGGUUUCGUUUUUAUCUUUUCGGUAGCUUUUUCGUUAAUAUUUUAUUAAAUUAUAUACAAAAAACUUUAGAUACCCAUCUAGAUUUAUCAAAAUAUUCACUAUAGUACCCUUUAAUUUUAACAUUAUCACUGAUUUAAGAAAAAAAAAUAAUGAAAUUGAUAAGAAAAAGAGAAAAAAGAAACCACAGGGGGGCAAAUUGAUACAUUUUAAACCACAUGGGGGGCAAAGUGAGAAACUACGAAACCACAGGAGGUAUUUUAGAAAUUUUCCCUUUAAAUUAUCUACAAUGAAAAUUCUUUUCUCUAUCACUAGCCAAAUGAAAGUCUUCACUUUCGUCGAUAUGCGUAAUUUUCAUAUCUUAGCUAGUAGAUUAUCUAUUACUCCCCCAUCAUUAAGCAUCUCAUACAAAGACUUAACUGUGAAUUCUUACCUCUUGUUUUAUCGCCAACAUAAAACAUCCCGACUAUUUACAGUAUGAAAGUAAGAGAGCAGAUUUCUAAACUCCUGAAUUGCCCGUCGAAGUCAUUGUCUUUCUUAUUAAAAAAAAAAAAAUGAAAAUCGUGGUGUCUACUUGUUUGUUCGUAACUGAUUUUCAGAUUGAAAAAUACUGAAAUUAGUGUAGUUUCCGGCGCGAUUUCUCAAUCUUGCUGCUGCGACCAGUGGGUGUGCAUUGCUGCUGCGACCGCACCUAAAAUUUAGAAUCUAAUCUAGUUAAUAUGAUUUGCAAUAUUUAAUGAGUUUAUGUGCAAAAAUUAAUUUAUUUAAGAGAGAAAUACUUCAAUACACCAGAUAGUAACCUGCUCAAUAGGUUACUAUUCGUAAGGAUAAUAUGGAAAAAUAAAUAAAAACUAAUUACCAAAUUUAAUCAACCCUACACAAAUAUAUGUUUCCUUGUUUAAUUUUGUUACUUACCAAAUUAGAUAGUACUAAUUUGAUAAGUAAUAAAUCUUUAUAAAAUUGAAUUUAAAAAUAAAUUUGAGCUUAAACUUUAUAAUUGUGUAUAUUAAAUUCAAAUUUAAUUUUAAUUUUAAUUUUCUGAAUGAAAAAAUUUAUGUUUAAAUGAUUAGUAUAUUUCAAAUCAAAUUGUUAAUUUGAUAUUAAAAUGACACGAAAUUUCAAAUUAACAAUUAACUUAUUUGAAAUUGUAAAUUAUGCUGUAUUUAUAAACAUAACUUUUAUUUUUUAUUUAAAUUAAUGGCUUCUAUUUUUAAAAUUAAAUUCAAAUUGUUCAUUCGAUAGCAAAAACAAUAUUAAAGUUCAAAAAUAUUGAUUAAAAUUAAAUUUUAAAUUUAGAUUUAGUUUAUAUUAUAGUUAAAAAAAUAAAAUUUGUUAACUAUUUAAAUUAAAUUAUUCUAUGUUUGAAAAUUAACUUUCAAACAUUCACUUGGGGAUAAUAUUUCAUAUUCAAUUACUAAGAAAUUGUAUAAUAUAAUUUUUCAAUUGCAAUAUUUUAUAUUUACAUAUAAUUUUCGAUGCAAAAAAUUUUAAAUUAGAAACAAAUUUAAGAGUUUAUUUCAUAAUCAAAUCAUAAAAAAUAAAUUCAAAAUUGGCUAAAAUUUUACCUCCUGGUUUAAGUCAGGUUCGAGUUUAAGGGGUAGACUAAAUGAUUUCAAUAAUAUAUCAUUUUUUAUUUAAAAUUUGAAUGCAAUAUAUUAGUAAAGAAAAGUUAAUUUAGGAAAGGUAAUUACACACCUUCCUUGUAACGCCAAACCUUUAUAGCUAAAGAGGACAUGUUAUAAGAUGUAAAUUUAUCAAAAUGCCCUUGUUGCAAAAAAAAAAAAAAAAUUGCCCUAUUAAGAGUUGACCGGUACCGAUGGUAUCAAAUACCGGUCAUCCUCUUUUAAAGGGUGCACCUUGGCCGUCCAUUUAAAAAAUUUUAAUGGUUAAGAUGUUUUUAGUGUAUAGGAGCAUUGCUCUAUUUAAGAUAUCUAUUACCAAUGUUGAUUAAGCAGAUUUUGAAAAACAACAACCAAUAACGAAAAAUUUAUUGUUUGAUUUCUAAGAAAUUAACAUUAAUUUAAAGAGGUUAAAUAUCUAAUUGUUGCAGUUCGAAGGUUAGGGACUCAAUUAAAAGUAAGGUAUAAGCUAGCUAGGUUAAGGACCUAAUUUCUAUAAUUUGUAUUGAUUUAGAAAUCGGGUCGACCUCAUCGAUUCAAUUGGUCCGACCAUGACCCGGUUUAUAAAGCGGUUUGGUUCAAUCUUCUGAACUAGAUAUAUAAAUCAAGAUAGUGCUUAAUUUGAUCCAGCGGUUUAACCAUUAUAUAGACACGUGUGUCGGUCCGGUUUUAAUCAAACCAGUUGGAUUUUUUUUUUUAAUCAAUUCGUAUUUAGAUUCAACGGCUUAAAAUUAAUUUAGCAAAUUUUAUUUUCUAUUAGCAUGGAUUAGUCUUAUAAAAAAUAAAACUAGCUUGAAAACUUAUAUCUAUUUAAUUUGGUCUAUUUAAUGAUGAUUCUAUUAAAUUAAUUAUUUUGAACAUUUACUAGGUGAAAAGAGUUGAUAGCAAAUGAAAUUAUUAAUUUAAUACAAUUAUAAUUUAAUUUUCAAAAGGUACUUAAAAUUAAAUAAAUUUAUUGUUGAGAGGGUAUCAACUAUAAAAAAAAAGAAAAAGAAAAAAGAAAAAGAAAAAGAAAAAGAGCUGAAGAUUCUAUAUAUGAGGAGCAAUAUCCCUGUUUUUUUAAUUAAAAUUUUUUCCCAGAAAUUACUAACUAAUUUAUAUACUUGAAAUUUUUCUGUAAUAUUUUUGGUAAAAUGUACUCCAAUUAAGUAGUAAUUGUUGAAGGUUAUAAUUCUGUAUUGUUUGUUAAUUACAUGAACUUGGAAGAAAUCAAAAUGAGAGUAAAUUUGGUUCAAAUCCAUUUAAAUAUAUAUUUGGAUAAAAGUUAAAAAGUUAGCUUUUUAGUGGUCAAGCUGAUAUUGGUAUGAUACAUUUUUGGGCUGUUUUCUGAUCAUUGAACACUUUUUUUUAAAAAAAAGAUAGGAAAUGUUCCAAAAAAUAUAAAAAAGUAAAUUAAAAUCAUGCAUGAUAUACUUAGGGCAGAUCUAUACCAUGUUAUUCAAAAGACCGACUUUAUAAAAAAAAAAACUACCUAAAAAUAGUUUUAAUGGGAAGGAUUUUAAUCUGCGACCGCGCUGUCAUGUACGUUAUCUAAAAGAUAGAUCUGCAUGAUAGGGAACAGAUUAAAAUUAUAUGUGCUGUUCAAACAUCAAAAAGGUCUAGUAAUGCUAUGUGGUGCAUCCAUAUUAGAUACGGUUAAAUCCAAUCGGUUUGGAUUUGACCAGAUAUUAUUCUAGAUAAGGUUAAGCAGAACAGAGAGCAGAUAAGGUUGAAUUCUUUCUUUCUUCCUCUUGAGUUCAAACCUAUCUAUCUAGCUUUGCAUAUCCCUUCUCAAUUUGUUUUUGAAAAGUGCAUUGUCUUGGUGGUUGGUACUCGAGGUUCUAAGUUCGAAUCCUAGUUGAUUCACAUUUCUAGCUAAGUUUAUUUCUAAAUGAAAUAAACGAAGCGGAUAGCGUGCUACCUAUCUCUCUCAAAAAAAAAAAAUCGUCAUAAUUAUAAGGGAAUUCCUUCUUUCUUCCUCUCUUUUCAUAGCUCAUGGAAGCGGAACUCUGGUAAUCCUCUCCACAUUGGAGCCGUGAAGAGUGGGAGACGAGCCCUUUUGACAUUCAAGAUGUGAUAAACAGAAAAAGGCCGGGCUCGUGGAAAAUCCAGAAACGUCAAACACAAGGGUGAUAUGAGAAGGGUUGUAAAAUAAUAAAUUCGAUUCAAUUUUUAGAUACGUUGGCUAUCCAAUUUGUAAGUGUCCACUGUUUAUAACUUUUUUCUGACGUCAAAAAAAUAUCUUGAGGGACGGUUUGAAUUUUUAGUUUGUGAUUCACUGAUUCACAAAAAAUAGAAGCGUUUGGGAGAAGUUUUAUUAAAGUGAUUCUUCUAAUAACACUACGUAAAUGCGACUUCAUCACAUCCAAAGCAAGGGCCAAAUUGACCCUUGCCACAUAACUUUUAUUCAUACAAAACCAAAGUUGGGUACAUCACUUAAAAAUACUAUAAAAAUUAAGCACACUGGAAAUUACUUAAGAUGUCAUAAAUGACUUACCUCUUUAUUGUACCAAUCACACACAAAGCACUGAGAAUAUCUCUCAGGAGAUACACACAAAGCAAACCACUCAACUUCUUCUGCAUAGAAACCUCAUGCAUGUAUAUUUUUUGGAGACUGAUCAGAAGAGAUACACUUUUAGGCAACAACUCCAGGGUUGGCAAGCAAGUGCUCUUCUGCUUUCUUGAAAAUCUUGAAGCUCCUCUCCAGGAGGAGCUUCUCCUCCUCGGCGUCGAGGGGCUUGUCGCCGAUGGUGUCAUACUCCACCUUCAACUUCACGACGCAGGAGUUCUCUCCCGCGGCCUCGAACUUGUACGCGAACACCUGCGACUUGAACCUCUCACCGAUCUUGCCUCCUUCGAUAGCUUCGAACUUGAACACGUAGUUCGCCUCGUCGAGCACCAGUACACGGCUCUUAAAGAAGGUGACACCUGGCACAGCUGCAUAAAAUUCGACAUACGAAGUUAAAGCAUGAUGUUACUAACAAAGCCGAUUCCCGAUUAUAGAUAGAUUCGUUGAAUCUAGUAAUAACUGACUGACUGACUGAAUCUGACCAGAUUCAAUAAAUCUGAUAAAACCCUAGUAGAGAUAGUAUUGUAUUAUUAUUACUUCUUUAGCUAAGGACCAAAUAUGCAUCUAAAGUAUUGUAGAUCAUCUACACAUGGAAAGAAAUUCCUUGGUUUGUUGGUGGUUUAAUUAAGAAAAAGGGACGUGACAUAAUAUCAAUGAAAAAGAAAUAAUAGUGCAUUAUUAUUACAUUUAAAUUGAAAGCUAAUUUAUUAUAUUUGUUGUAUAUAUGUCAUAAGAAAAGCAAUAGUAAUGGGUCUCACUUCAUUUAGAUAACAUUAGUUCAUUAAUAGAUUAAUAAUAGCAAGUAUAUAGAAUAAUCCAUAAUUAUAUUGAUAAUUUUAUUAUUUUUGAAAAACAUAUUUUAAGCCAUUUACUCACCAAAAAAUAGAAAUUUUAAAUUCAAGAUUGAAGUUGUAGAUAUUAUUCUAAAUAGUUAAAAGUAUUUUCUCUCAAAGAUGCAAGUGAUUUGAAUUAUUUUAUACAGUUAUAUGAGAAAACAACUCAUACAUGCUGUUAAAAUUAUGACUUUUGAGACUGCUUGAUUAUUAAGCGAAUGAUAUCGAAGAAUUAUAAAAUUUAGCUCCUUAGAAGUUCAAAUAACAAUAUUGAUCAUCGAGACGAAUGCACGAACAUCAAAAAAUGACUCUAUUGCGUGUGUUAUAAACGUAUAGUAAUUCAGCCUAGCUCAAAAAUGUCUUAAGCAGAAGAUUUUUCUUUUUUCUCUCUAAUACCAAAUUAAAUAAUUGAUAUUUCAUAGAAUUAGUGUCAUGUCUAAGCUUUAUUCUCAUGUAAUUUCUUCCCCAUUAUAUGAGUUUUUUCUUUUCUUUUUUUUGGCAUUUAGCCCCCUCAAUUUUUUUAAUAAAUUAAUGGUCCCAGUAAACUUAUAUUUGCAUAAAUAAUUCUCUUUCUGCUACGCCACGUUAGAUAGGGAAGAGCCAUGUUAAGUUGAAUAUGCUGAUUUAAUCACCGUAUUUAAAUACAGUGACUGGAUUACUCUGUUCAUAUGCAUCUACACUCUAGUCCCUGUUCUUCGACUUAGGGGCAAUAAAAUUAAAGAAAAACGAUGAAAGAACACAAAAAAGAACAUGUCAGCUCAAUCAUCAUAUUUAAAUACGUACAGUGACUAGAUCACCGAUUCAACUUAAAAACAUCCACAUGAUCCUUCACUAUCCAGCGUGACGCUCGCGUCAUAGGGAGAUGGCCAUUUUUGUAAAUAUAAAUUUGCUAGGGCUAUUUAUAAAUUUUCUUACGAGGCUAAAUUGCAAAAGACUCCUUUUUUUAUAGUAACAACUAACUGCACAAAUCAUUUAUCACGAAGAACAACUUCACUAUAGUAACUAGAUUUACUACUUAGGUUUCGUUUGGGAUUGCGGGAAGAUUGCAUUACGUGCGGUGAGAAACGACGAUGGAAAAAUACCAUAUUUGUUUCCGUACGUAAUAUUGCGUUCUGCAUAUUGCGGCUAGUCGGUUACGAUAUAUUUUCUGCGGUUCCAUCGGAGAACGCAGAAGUAUAUCCCUAUAUGCUUUUUCUCAAUUCCAUUCUAUCUAAUAGCGUUAGAUCCACCUCAAUACCAAACUAAGCCUUAAUGAUAUAUAAAUAAUUCAACUUAUUUGGUUAAUUUGUGAUUUUUAAACCUGAUGUGAAGUUCAUUUUCUUGAUAGUUCCCGCUCCGCCGCUCCCCUCGACGUCGACGCUCGCGAUGUGGGUGGGCGCAAUCUUGGGCAGGUAGAUGUGAUCUUCGGCGGCACUGACCUUCCACAGGCGCUUGACGCCGACAGAGAACGUCUCCUCCUUUGUGAUGCACCCAGAAACCAUUGUUUUUUCUGAGUGUUCUUGAGCAAACUUAAUUUUUCUGAAGUGUUUCUGGGGCUCUGCAGGUAAUUAAAUUACUACUAUAUGAGUUGGUUGGCUAUGCAAGUGAAGGAGUGGUUAUUUAUAGAGUUUGAGAGAGAGAGAGAGAGAGAGAGAGAGAGAGUUGUGUCUAGUUCGAGACUUUUCGUAGGUCCAAGAUAUGAAUUCUGAAACAAAAUGAAAGAAAGUUACAUCAUACCGUGAUGCGCCCACAAGGACUUUAAGUUUGUCGUCUUUCGCUUCUGAUAGCAUGUAAAACAAAAUGAGAGGUAGAUUCGCAUUUGAUUCAAGACUUUUAGUAGGGUAUUAAAAUGUUUACAAAGACUUGAAACUUGACCUUUUGCUCUGAUUACAUGCGAAAUAGUUUUGUUUUCUCAGUAACCUCUCAAUAAUUAGUUAGUUGGUGUUGUUCAUAUGGUAUCGCUUCAUUCAUUUAAUAUAGAAAGAAAUUUAUUUGAAAAUGUGAAUUAAUGAUGUUUCAAAUUUGGGAUCUUGGAUACCAAUUAUCGAGUCAUUUGUCACUUGUGACGGGAAUGACCAGAUAGUUAGUAUUGUUUUAAUAUUAAGAGAGAGAGAGUGCAUCGUGUCUGAGAGACUUUUAGUAGCUAGGUCCAAGAUAUGAUUUUUGCAAUAAAAUGAGAGAAAAUCACCUGUGAUACUACGCAUUUGAAAAGACAAGAAUUUUAUCUUCUCCUCUAAUCAAUAUAAUAUGAAAUAACUUCAAUUUCUCUCAGAAACCCUCAGCUAAGUAGUUGAGGCCUUUUAAGAUUACGGAUAUAAGAAACACUAAAUUUUGAAUCUUGUGCUCUGAUAACAUGUGGAACAAUCGCUCUCAGAUCUAAAUUAGUAGUAUACAAUGAAUGCUUUAAGAGAGAGAAAGAGAGAGAGGUGCCGGUCCAAACUGGGCUUCUAGAAUCUCUUACUAUGACAUGACUUUGGAAUAUUACUUGGAAUUAGGGUGGUGCAUGUGGGCCAUGUGAGUGAUGGAAUUUUUGUGGGGUUAAUUAAUUAAUAAGUGUGACUAGAAGAGCAUACGCAUGCCAAUAGCUGCCUUCUUUGAAUGUAGGGACUUUAAAGCAAGCAAGAAUCUAGAAGGAAUUGAAUAAAUAUAUAUACACAUAGAGUUGAGCUAGAAUACUCUCAAAAUCACCAAUAGGGUGGUGCUUGUGAGUUUUUAAUCAUUGGAUGGAGAGACGUAGGGUUGAGAUGAUGGUGGUAGGUGGUGGUAGGUGGAAUAGUAUUUGAUCCAAGGGGUAUUAUUAGUAAUUAAGGAGUAGAUCCAAGGGCUGGAAACUUAGAAGCACCAAGGGAUUGGUGCUUCUAAAAGGAUUCUAGCUCAAUUAUAUAUAUAUAUAUAUAUAUAUAUAUAUAUAUAUAGAGUAGAGCUAGAAUACUUGUAAAAGUAUCACCCAAGUGAUACUUGUGUGUUUUUAGCCCUUGGAUGGAGAGAUGUGAGGUUGAGAUGAUGGUGGUAGGUGGUGGUAGGUGGUGGUAGGUGGAAUAGUGUUUGAUCCAAGGACUAUUAAUAAUCAAAAAGUAGAUCCAAUGGCUAAAAACACACAAGUAUCACUUGGGUGAUACUUGUAAAAGUAUUCUAGCCCUACUCUAUAUAUAUAUAUCUCUCUCUCUCUAUAUGCGCGCAUAUAUUAAUAGUAUAAAGAAGUUUCGAACAAACAUUUUGAGAAUGUGUAUGUGGAUAGCUUUACACCGUUAAACGAGAAAACGCUUCAUAUCGACCAUUAAAAUUACAAAUUUUGAAACCCUUUGAUCAUUAGGUCAAUGAUGUCAAAAAGAUUUGAAAUUUGAUUUCUAAAUACUUCAAAUGAUAUAGAUCAUGUUCAACGGUGCUGAUCGUCGAUUUGAAGGCUCCAUCAUCGAAAACAAGUGGAUGGCAACGGAGUCCGUUUGCUACCGAUAGCAUUCCAGCUCAACUCUCUCUUUCUCUCUCUCUCUCUCUCUCUCUCUAUCUAUAUAUAUAUAUAUAUUGGAUUAAAAUAUUAUUAAUAGUAUUUGAAUUUUUUUGCUAUUGAGUUUUUAAUCUUUGAAUGAAAAAUUAUAAGGGCUAGGAUGAUUGUGGUUCCCUAGGAUUUAAUAGUAGUCCCUCUAGAACUGAGUGAGUAGUUGGUUGAAUAGUAUGAUUUAAGAAUGAAAUUCAUUAAAGUGUAGAUUUAAUAGCUAAAAAAUCGAUAGUAAAAGAGCAUAAAUACUAUUAAUAGUAUGAUUUCUCUCUCUCUCUCUCUCUAUAUAUAUAUAUAUAGAGAGAGAGAGAGAGAGACUGAAAUGUUAUAAUAGCACCAAGUUAUUGGUUCUAUUAGAUUUUCGGCUUUUGGACGAAGGAUGUACGGUUAUAAUGACAGUGAUCUUCUAGGGUUGAGUGGGUGGUUGGUUGAAUAGUAUGAUCUAACAGAUAAAAAUGAUCAAAUGAGUAAAUUUAAUGAUAGAAAACUCGAUUACAUCAAGUACUUAGUGCUAUUAGAAACACCACUAUUGGACUCUCUCUCUCUCUCUCUCUCUCUCUCUCUCUCUCUAUAUAUAUAUAUAUGUUUGUGUAUAUAAAGUAAGUAUAAUUCAAGCUUAGAAGGACCAAUUUUCAAAUCACGUUAUGUUCUUUGUCAUAAUUAGAAAUUAAGGCUAAACUUUACAAAAUUUACUUUUGCACUUUGGCCCUUGUCUCAAUUAUACGCGAUUUAAAAAUUUAUCUCAAUUUGAACCAUGCACUUUACUACUGUUUCGAAUAGGUCCAGAAAUUUAGAAGGAUCAUUGAAUUUGGAUGCAAUCAACUAAAGCUGUAAUUUAUUCAAUUAAUAUUUUUCAUAUUUUAGUAACUAUGACAAUGGUUAUCUAUCUAAUCUUUCUCAUAAAAGUUUGGCCAAAAUACAGAAAAUCCUCUUGUAAAUACCUGUCUUUUCAUUUUUCCUUCCCAACUUUCAAAAAUCUAUAUUUUGCCUUCCUUAAAAUUUCAGAAAUAUUUUUAGAGGGGUACGGUGUUAAUAGAGAGGGCAAAAUAACCAAAGUACCCUUACUUCUUCUAUAAGGAAAAAUAUAAUUUUUUAAUAUGUUUCUCUUAUUUUAAAGGGCAUUUUCAAAAUAAAUUAUAAGAAAUGAGCGAAAUAGUGAUGAAACCUAAUGGAAGGAGGCUAAAUGCAGUAAUUUGAAAUAUUGAAGAGGUAAAAUGUAGAUUUUUGAAAGUUACGGAGGGAUAGUAAAUAAGCAUGCAUUUAUAAGGAGAUUUUUUGUAAUUUAGCCUAAAAGUUUUACACCCAAUUUUAUCAAUCUUCAAAAUAUUUUGCACCUAUUUUACACAGGGUGGGAUUUAAAUUAAAGCAAAAUUUUAUACCAAGAAGUAAUUGAGACAUGAGAUAAAGUAUAAUGUAAUACUAGUUAAAGUAUCUUCACAAUGGCGUAUAAUGUAAUACUAGUUAAAGAACCCGCGCGAGGCGGCGGGUAGACAUUAUUAUAACUAGAUUUUCACCCGUGCGAUGCACGGCUAAUAUAAUAAUAUAGAAUAAUAAAAAAUAUUAUUUGAUGAUAACAAAAAGAUUUUCUAAUUAAUUUUAUAUUUUUUAACAAAUAAAAAAAUAUACUAUCAAUCUUAAUUAUAGUACAUAUUAAAGUAUACAAGCUAGAGAAAAAAAUUUUUGGACCAAACUAAAUAUUCAACUAAAAUGCAAAAUUCAAUCCUGCUCAAUUAUCUAUGAAUUGGUGUGCAAAACAAUUUACAUUUACAUAUUGAUGUGCAAAAUAAAAUGAUAACUAAAAUUGAUAUGAAAAAUUACAAAUGAUAUUAAUAUUUAAGUGUCACGCCCCGGAUUACUCGUUCUCUGGGCACGCCGACAAAUCCGCUGUCACGCCCCGGAUUACACUUUCCCCGGGCGCGUCGACAAAUCCGCUGUCACGCCCCGGAUUACACUUUCCCCGGGCGCGCCGACAAAUCCGCUGUAUACAAAGGAAUUUCUCCUGUAUACGAAGCGAUAGAUGUACCUGUAAAUCAAACACUACUACGAACAGUAGUAGAGAGCUGCUAGAGAAAACAGAAGCUAAACAAACUGAGUUUCAUAUACAUAGUCCAAAUCCAAAAUACAAAGCUACUCGCACUGGCGAGUUAAGUCCACUAUGUACAUAAACUCGAAACAAAAUAUCUACCUGCAGUAGGGGCACCUUUAGCUCAGCACGUCGGGUAGGGCUCUAACUCGCGACGCCCUUGUCUCGAUCCUGAACUGCGGAAGGCGCAGCAGCCGAAACCUGUGGCUCUGCAAAACAGGGGUAACAACUGGGCGUGAGAACUACUGUAAAAACAAGUAGUCCUCAGUGGGUACCGCCCAAAACAACAUCGGUCCACCCACUAAGUCUACAGAAGGGAGCAGGAAUAGUAGUAAAAUGCAGGAAUAAAGUCUACCGCUAUCAAACACUACACUAUCAUGCUCUACACUAACCAACUGUAGGAAAUGUCCAACCUGACCCAAUCCAAUCGGGACUGUAAGCAUACCCGUCCCCGGGACUGUGAAUACACCCGUCCCUGCCCCGUUGCGACUAUCGGGCUCUAUCCACACUAACUGGUCCGUGGAGAGCAAGUCCAACUGGCAUGAGCGACACCAACGCGAAAGCACAAAGCCUGACUCCGGAGUGGCACUCGUGGGCGCUACCCAACCGAGUAUGCAGCGUAUCUCUGUCGAGCUCAAACAGGCUCCAACUAGCCAAAGUCAAGUGAACAGGGUCAAAACAGGUCUACAAACCAAACCCACGUGCCCUCGGCACAAUCUGUGACCAAAACAAGAAUCUGGGUCCACCGCUAACCCGAACGGCACCCAACGACCCGAAACAGCCUAAACUCUGCUGAAAAAUAAGCUCGGCACCCCAGCACGAGCGUAAAUGCCUUCUAAACUACCCCAGGUAUCCAUCGCACUGAUACUGCAACGAUACAAUCGAAUCACGGCUCCUAGAGCUAAAUCUGGUAGUUUAAGCAUAUGACGGGUCAAAACGCAGGUUUUCUCCUAAGUCAAAUUUCAAGUCCAACAUGUAUAAUUUAAAUAUUCAUUUCAGCAUGCUUCUACAUUCAUAUUACAUUCAAGAUGCUAAUCGAUGAAUUAAAGCAUGAUAUACAAAAAUCGAACUAUACACGUCGACUAAACAUGCACUUAGGAGCGAAACCGAUGAUACACCCAC